Molecule: long non-coding RNA, 45293 nt
Filed under: Triticum aestivum (bread wheat)
Lineage: Eukaryota; Viridiplantae; Streptophyta; Magnoliopsida; Poales; Poaceae
Description: long non-coding RNA (TAES_LNC025793)
Source: RNAcentral
AUGUGAUGUGACGCAUAUGCCAUAGAUGAUGAUAGAUCUUACCGGUGACUGUUGGUCAGCUUGAUGGGCGUGUUAAAAAAUGGUGUUACCAACCUAUGAUGUCAACUAUUCCCUCCGUCCCGGAGUAACUCUUAACUGGUCUGUUGUAAUGUGGUGUGCCUGAAAAAACAGACACGCUCGUCUAAUGUAUUUUAUGUACUACCCCCUCCAUUCGGAAAUACAAGUCUUUUUUUUAAGAUUCCAAUAUAGUCUACAUAUGGAGCAAAAUGAGUGAAUCUACAUUUUAAAAUACGUCAAUAUUCAUCCGUGUGUAGUUUAUAUUAAAGUCUUUAAAAAGACUUAUAUUUAGGAACGCAGAAGAAAGUAGAUAAUUGCCAGUGCGUUGCAACAAUAUCAUGAAUAUUUAAGUAGGUUAGCAUGGGAUGUACCUGCUCCUCAUGUUAGUGUGAUUUUGUAAAAAUAAUGGUGAUUUUUAUUCGCUAAGCAUUUUCUUUAUCAAAGAACACAAUAAUUUAGCAUAUAAUAUUUUGUGAGCACUCUCACGACAAAACUGGGUUAAUAGAUGUUGGAUGCAUAAGUAGUAUCUCUACUUGAUGUAAAAGAUUUGGCUAGCAUAAGAUGAGAAGUAAGCUUAAACAUGUUGGAGAUCCAUGACAAUAUAACUUCUAUUCGGAUAUAAGAAAACAUAACACAUUAUAUUGUUUUCCUUGUCCGACAUCACUUUUUAGCAUAUAAUAUUUUAAUGAAUGCUCACAAUAACAAAAGAGGUUCAAGAUAGUAUAUUUAUACAUGAAAUCUUUUUUUCUUUAUUACUUCCUAUUAAUUGUAACAAUAACUAAAACUAUGUUUGUCAACUUCCAACAAAUUUCAUGUGACAUACUCCUUAUAUGUGAAGUCAUCACCUUUCAUAAGAUUAUUAUAUAAUCUUUUUAUUUCUUUUAUAUUAUUUUCUUUUCCAAGAUCAAAACAAGAGAGCAAAGCCCUCAACUCAAAACCACUUUUUAUUAUAUAACUCUCGAACUCAAUUACAUAGAUAAAUCAAAAGCAAAACUAAAAGAGUAGAUCAUACUAAAACUUUUAUUCUACUAGAUCAAGAUAUAACCAAAAUGAUCGAACUAACAUAAACGAUAAAAGUACAAAUGUGAUAGUGAUACGAUACCGGGGCACAUGCCCCAAGCUUGUCACAAGCCAAUGGGAGUGCCCAUACCCAUGUACUCAAGUCUCCUUCUUCGAAGGUGGUGAUGACAAGGUUGAUGAUGUGGAAGGCUUGUCCUCUGUCUUUCAAGGCAUAGGCUCACCAUCGUAAAAGGAUAAACGAGUCUUUGAAAUUCUCAAAAUCUGCAGCCAAACUCAUCCUCUUAAAUCUGUAUUCAUACUCACAGUUUUGGUUUUGCAUGUCUCAAUGGAUUGAGGGUGUUGCAUCACCUCCGGAAGAUAGUGGUUGACGACCUUCUCGUAGAACUUGUCCUUGGGGGCUCUUGGAGACGUUAUGGCGAUCUAGAUCUGUCAGAAAAGUAGCUCGAAAUAGGAACAGAGGAUAUCACCGUGAUACGGUGGUCAAAACCUUCGGGAGAUUAUAUAAUAAAUUUUUACCGUGCAUAACAAGUAUAUGGGGGAAAACAAAGUCCAGAGGACACACGAGAUGGCCACAAGCCCGGGAGGCGCGCUCCCACGGCUUGUUGCCUCCUCGCGCGCUAUUCGGACUACAUAUUUUGCUAUUUUUUAAAUAUUUCAAAACGGAGUACAAUUGCCUUUGAAAAAAAUUUGGAGUCGGUUUACUUGCCAUAUCAUAUAUCUAUUCCUUUUUAGAGUUCUGGAGCGUGUUGGAAAGUUUCCCUUAUGUACUCCUCCGGUGUUAUGGUAUGAAUAAUAUUAGUUUGAACGUUUAUGGGAGUACCUGAGAUAAAAUGUUUGAUUAUUUGCCCAUUCACCGCCUUCGGCGUUGUUGAUCUUGAUGGCACUGGAUAAACUUCUUCAAUAAUGUAAGGCCCUUUCCAUUUAGAGAGAAGUUUUCCUGCAAAAAGUCUUAAUCAAGAGUUGUAUAACAAGAUUUGGUCACCUACAUUAAAUUCCCGCUUUUAUAUUCUUUUGUCAUUGUCAUCUUUUAACCUUUUCUUUAAACAUCUUGGCAUUUUCAUAGGUUUGGGUUCUCCAUUCAUCAAGUGAGCUAAUGUCAAAUAACCUCUUUUCACCGGCAAGUUGGAAUCAUAGUUGAGCUCUUUAAUUGGCUAAUAAGCUUUGUGUUCUAAUUCAAGAGGUAAGUGACAUGCUUUUCCAUAAACCAUUUUAUAUGGAGACAUACCGAUGGGAUUUUUAUAAACAGUUCUAUAAGCCCAUAAUGCAUCAUCAAGUUUCUUAGACCAAUUCUUCCUAGAUUUGUUAACACUCUUUUGCAAGAUCAGUUUUAUUUCUUUGUUACUUAAUUCUCAGUAGACUGAGGAUGAUAAGGAGAUGCAAUUCUAUGGUUAACAUCAUACUUAGCAAGAAAUUUACGGAAAUCACCAUGAAUAAAGUGUGAGCCACCAUCAGUCAUUAAAUAUCUAGGGACUCCAAAUCUCGGGAAAAUAACUUCUUUAAGCAUUUUAAUAGAGGUGUUAUGAUCAGCACUACUAGUUGGGAUAGCUUCUACCCACUUAGUAACGUAAUCAACAUCAACUAAAAUAUGAGUAUACCCAUUAAAGGAUGGAAACGGUCCCAUAUAAUCAAAUUCCCAAAGAUCAAAUGGUUCAAUGACAAGUGAAUAAUUCAUUGACAUUUUCUGACGUCUACUAAUGUUACCAAUUCUUUGACAUUCAUCAUAAGACAAGACAAACUUACAAGCAUCUUUGAAGAGAGUAGGCCAAUAAAAACCAGAUUGUAAUACCUUGUGCACAGUUUUAUCUCCAGCAUGGUGUCCUCUGUAAGCCUCGGAGUGACACUUGCGUAGGAUCUAUUCCUGUUCAUGCUCAGGUACAUAUUGUCUAUUAACACCAUCUACUCCUUCUUUAUAAAGGUGUGGGUCAUUCUAGAAGUAAUGUCUUAAAUCAUAGAAAAACCUUUUUUUUGUUGGUAUGUGAAACUAGGUGGUAUAAAUUUAGCAAUAAUAAAAUUAGCAUAGUCUACAUACCAUGGAGUACUACGAGAAGCAUUUAUAACGACUAAUUGUUCAUCAGGAAAAUUAUCAUCAAUAGGUAGUAGGUCAUCAAGAAUAUUUUCUAACCUAGACAUGUUAUCUACUACGGGGUUCUAGCUCCUUUCCUAUCAGUAAUAUGUAAAUCAAAUUCUUGUAGCAAGAGAACCCACCUAAUGAGUCUAUUUUUAGCAUAUUUAUUUUCCAUAAGGUAUUUAAUAGCAGCAUGGCCGGUGUGAACAAUUACUUUAGAAUCAACAAUAUAAGAUCUGAAUUUAUCACAAGCAAACACAAUCGCUAAAAAUUCUUUUUUAGUAGUAGCAUAAUUUCUUUAGGCAUUGUCUAGAGUUUUACUAGCAUAAUGGAUGACAUUUAAUUUCUUAUCAACUCUUUGUCCUAGAACAGCACUGACAACAUAAUCACUAGCAUCACACAUAAUUUCAAAGGGUAGGUUCCAAUCAGGUGGUUGAACAAUAGGUGCAGAAAUUAAGGCUUUCUUAAGUAUUUCGUAGGCUUCUAAACAAUCAUCAUCAAAAACAAAUGGAACAUCUUUUUGCAAAAGAUUAGUAAGAGGCCUAAAUUUUUUAGAGAAGUCUUUAAUAAAUCUCCUAUGGAAACCAGCAUGACCAAGGAAGCUUUUUAUACCUUUGAUAUCUUUAGGACACGACAUUUUUUCAAUAGCACCUACUUUAGCUCUAUCAACUUCAAUACCUUAUUCGGAAAUUUUAUGCCCCAAGAUAAUACCUUCAUUAACUAUAAAGUGUCGCUUCUUCCAAUUCAAGACAAGAUUAGUUUCUUCAUAUCUCUACAAAACUCGGUCAAGGUUGCUUAAGCAAUCAUCAAAAGAAGUUCCGUAUAUGAAAAAAUCAUCCAUGAAAACCUCAACAAUCUUUUCACAAAAGUCAGAGAAUAUAGCAGUCAUACAUCUUUGAAAAGUAGCAGAUGCAUUGCAUAAACCAAAAGGCAUACAUCUAUAAGCAAAAGUACCAAAAGGGCAUGUAAAAGUAGUUUUCUCUUGAUCCUCUUGUGACACAGGUAUUUGGAAAAACCAGAGUAUCCAUCUAGAAAGCAGAAAUGUGUAUGUUUUAAUAGUAUUUCUAGCAUUUGAUUAAUAAAAGGUAGAGGAUAAUGAUCUUUCCUAGUAGCUUUGUUUAAUUUUUUAAAAUCGAUUACCAUUCUAUAACCUGUGAUAGUUCUUUGUGAGAUAAGUUCAUUUUUAUCAUUAGGAACAACAGUAAUACCUCCCUUCAUAGGGACACAAUGAACAGGGCUUACCCAUCUACUAUCAGCUAUGGGAUAUAUUAUACCUGCUUCCAGAAGCUUUAAUAUUUCAUUUCUUACCACUUCUUUCAUUUUUGGAUUUAACCGUCAUUGAUGAUGAACAACUGGUUUAGCAUCAGGCUCCAUAUUAAUUUUAUACUGACAUAGAGUGGGACUAAUGCCCUCAAGAUCAUCAUGAGUAUAUCCAAUAGCGGCACGGUGCUUCCUCGAAGUUUUCAAUAAUCUCUUUUCUUCAUGCUCUAAAAGGUUAACACUAAUAAUAACAUGAUAUCUCUUCUUUUCAUCAAGAUAAGCACAUUUCAAAGUAUCAGGUAAUUGUUUAAGCUCAAACACGGGAUCGCUCUUGGGUGGAAGAGGAUCUCCAAGAGUCUCAACAUGCAAAUUGUGUUUCAAAAUAGGCAUUUUUUAGAGAAUAUUUCAUCUAUUUCGUUUUUUUCAUUCAUAAACAUAUCAUUUUCAUGGUCUAGCAAAUAAUGUUCUAAAGGAUCAAUAGGAGGCACGACAAUAGAAGCAAGACCAAUAAUUUCACCUUUACUAGGCAAUUCUUUAUCAUGAGGUUGUCUAUGGAAUUGGGAGAAAUUAAACUCAUGAGACACAUCCUCGAAACUUACACUAACAAUUUCUUUCUCACAAUCUAUCUUAGCAUUAACAUUGUUCAAGAAAGGUCUACCAAAUAUAAUGGGACAAAAGUCAUCUUGUGGGGAAUCUAAAACUAGAAAAUCAUUAGGGUAUUUUAUUUUCCCACAUAAGACUUCAACAUCUCUAACAAUCCCAAGUGGUGUGACAGUAUCUCUAUUAGCAAGUUUAAUAGUAACAUCAAUAUCUUCUAUUUCAGAAGGUGCAAUAUCAUUCAUAAUUUUUUGAUAUAAAGUAAAAGGUAUUGCACACACAAUAUCACCCAAAUCACAUAAGCCAUGAUAACAAUGGUCUCCUAUUUUAACAGAAACAACAAGCAUGCCAACAGUAGGUCUAUGUUUAUCUUUUUCAUCGGGUUUAACAAUUCUAGUGGCUUCAUCACAGAAAUAAAUAAUAUGCCCAUCAAUAUUUUCGCCCAAGAGAUCUUUAACCAUAGCAACAUUAGGUUCAAAUUUAAUUUGUUCAGAGGGCGUAGGUGUUCUUGUAUAACUCUUACGGACUACACUUAAAGCUUUAGCAUGUUCUUUUAUCCUAACAGGAAAAGGUGGGUUCUCAACAUAAGCAGUAGGAAUGACUGGAUCAACAUUAUAAAUAAUGGUUUCUUCUCCAGCUUUAAUGGGUUCUACUACUUUUACAUCAAUGUGAGGAUGAUAUUUAAACCACCUCUCCUUAGGGAGAUCAACAUGAGUAGCAAAUGACCCACAAAAAGAAGCUACUAUCUCAGAGUCAAGUCCAUAUUUAGUGCUAAAUUCACAAAAAAUAUCGGUAUCCGUAAAAGAUUUAACACAAUCAAACUCAAGGUUUAUACCAGACUCCUUACCUUCCUCAAACUCCAAAUCUUCAAAGUUACGUUUAAUUCUUUCCAAAGGAUCCCAUUUGAAUUCAAUAGUCUUCUUCAUAAAAGAACCAGUACAAGAAGUAUCGAGCAUGGAUUGAUCAUUAUAAGAAAGCCGAGCAUAAAAAUUCUGUAUAAUAAUUUCCCUUGAGAGCUCAUGAUUGGGGCAUGAAUAUAACAUUGACUUAAGCCUCCCCAAGCUUGAGUGAUACUUUCUCCUUCACGAGGCUAAUAUAUAUAUAUGUAUAUAAUUCCGACCACGGUGAACCAGAUGCAUAGGAUAAAACUUCUGAUGAAAUUCCAAUUUCAAUCGGUUGUCAUUCCAAGGUCCAAUAUCAUCCCAUAGCCUAUACCAUGUCAAUGCCUUUCCCUUCAAAGAUAAAGGGAAGACCUGUUGGGAAGCAUUGCAUAGAAAAGAAAAAAAAAUCUACGCACACACAAGAUCUAUCCAUGGAGAUGCAUAACUACGAGCGAGGAGAGUGUGCCUACGUACCCUCGUAGACCGUAAGCAGAAUCAUUUAUUAAUGCAGCUGAUGUAGCCGAACUUCUUCGUGAUCCAACUGAUCAAGUACUGAACGUACGACACCUUCGCGUUCAGGACACGUUCAACUCGGUGACGUCCUUGCCUUCUUGAUCCAGCAAGAUGGGCGAAGUAGUAGAUGAGUUCUGGCAACACGACCGCAUGGUGACGGUGGUGGUGAUGCUAUCUUCGCAGGGCUUCACCUAAGCACUCCAAAAAUAUGAUUGAGGGACGAAACUGUGGAGAGGGGCGCCGCACACGGCUAAGAGAUUGUCGUGGGCUAUGUGUGGCGCCCCCUCCUAGGGCUCCCAAGGAGGCGCCCCCAAGGAGGUCGAAUCCUCCUUGGGCUCCUACCUUAGCCCCCCAUUCCUUAUUUGUGCGCGGGAGGAAGGCUGGGGAGGUGGCGCCCCCCUUACCUUUUUCUCAUGAGGAGGGAAAGGCGGAAGGGGCCAACCCUCCCCCUUUCCUUCCCCUAGGGCCGGCGGCCAGGAAAAGGGCACGCCAGCCCCCUUGUGGGCUGGUGUGUGCCUCCGCUUGGCCCAUUAGGCCCAUAGACAUCCCGGGGCCUCCCGGAACCCCUUCCGGUGAUCCGAUGGUUACUCGGUACAAUCUGAAACCUUUCCGGCGUCCAAAUAACAUCGUCCUAUAUAUCAAUCUUUACCUACGGACCAUCCCGGAGCUCCUUGUCAUGUCCGUGAUCUCAUCUGGGACUCCGAACAACAUUCGGUCACCAAAUCACAUAACUCAUAUAAUACUAUAUCAUCAACGAAUAUUAAGCAUGCGGACCCUACGGGUUCGAGAACUAUGUAGACAUGACCGAUACACCUCUCCGGUCAAUAACCAAUAGCGGAACCUAAAUGCCCAUAUUAGUUCCUACAUAUUCUAUGAAGAUCUUUAUUGGCCGAAUCUUAUGACAACAUACAUAAUUCCGUUUGUCUAUCGGUAUGUUACUUGCUCGAGAUUCGAUCAUCGGUAUCUUCACACGUAGUUCAAUCUCGUUAUCGGCAAGUCUCUUUACUCAUUCUGUAAUACAUCAUCUCGUAACUAACUCCUUAGUCACUUUGCUUGCAAGCUUCUUGUGGUGUGUAUUACCGAGAGGGCCCAUAGACACCUCUCCGAUACUCGUAGUGACAAAUCCUACUCUCGAUCCAUGCCAACUCACUAGACACCUUUGGAGAUACCUGUAGAGCAUGUUUAUGAUCACCCAGCUAUGUUGUGAUGUUUGAUAGCACACAAGGUAUUCCUCCGGUAUUCGGGAGUUGCAUGAUCUCAUAUUCGAAGGAAUAUGUAUUUGACAUUAAGAAAGUAAUAGCAAUAAACUAAACGAUCAUAUGCUAAGCUAACAGAUGGGUCUUGUCCAUCACAUCAUUCUCCUAAUUAUGUGAACACGUUACCAAAUGACAACUCAUGUCUAUGGUUAGGAAACUUUAACCAUCUUUGAUCAACGAGCUAGUCUAGUAGAGGCUCACUAGGGACACAAUAUUUGUUUAUGUAUCCAAACAUGUAUUUAAGUUUCUGGUCAAUACAAUUCUAGCAUGAAUAAUAAACCUUUAUCAUGAUUAAGAAAAUAUAAUAACCAUUUUAUUAUUGCCUCUGGGGCAUAUUUCCAUCACUCUCCCACUUGCACUAGAGUCAAUAAUCUAGUUCACAUCGUCAUGUGAUUAACAUCCAUAGUUCACAUCGCCAUGUAACUAACACCCAAAGAGUUUACUAGAGUCAAUAAUCUAGUUCACACCGCCAUGUGAUUAACACCCAAAGAUUUUAUUAGAGUGUGAUCAUGUUUUGCGUGUGAGAGAGGUUCUAGUCAAUGGGUCUGCAACAUUCAGAUCCGUGUGUACUUUGAAAAUGUCUAUGUCUACAAUGCUCUGCAUAGAGCUACUCUAGCUAAUUGUUCCCACGUUCAAUACGUAUCCAGAUUGAGACUCGGAGUCAUCUGGAUUAGUGGUAAAGCUUGCAUCAACGUAACCCUUUACGACAGACUCUUUAUCACCUCCAUAACCGAGAAACAUUUCCUUAUUCCUCUUUAGGUACCUAAGGAUAAUUUUGACCAUUGUCCAGUGAUCCACUCCCGGAUCACUAUUGUACCCCUUGCCAAACUCAUGGCAAGGCACACAAAUAGGUCUGGUACACAACAUGGCAUACUUUAUAUAACCUAUGGCUGAAGCAUAUGGAAUGACUUCCAUUCUCUCUCUAUCUACUGCCGUGGUCGGAUUUUGAGUCUUACUCAACUUCACACCUUGCAACACAAGCAAGAACCCUUUUGUUUGACUGUUCCAUUUUGAACUUCUUCAAAACUUUGCCAAGGUAUGUGCUUUGUGAAAUUCCUAUUAAGUGUCUCGAUCUAUCCCUAGAGAUCUUGAUGCCCAAUAUAUAUAAGAAGCUUCACCGUGGUCUUUCAUUAAAAAUUAUUAUUCAAGUAUCCUUUUGUGCUAUCUAGAAAUUCCAUAUCAUUUCCAAUCAACAAAAUGUCAUCCACAUAUAAUAUCAGAAAUGCUCCAGAGCUCUCACUCACUUUCUUGUAAAUACAGGCUUCACCAUAAGUCUGUAUAAAACCAUAUGCUUUGAUGACAUCAUCAAAGUAUAUAUUCCAACUCUGAGAUGUUUGCACCAGUCCAUAAAUUAAUCGAUGGAGCUUGCACACUUUGUUAGCACCUUUAGGAUCGACAAAACCUUCUGGUUGCAUCAUAUACAACUCUUCUUUAAGAAAUCCGUUAAGGAAUGCAGUUUUGACGUCCAUUUGCCAGAUUUCAUAAAAUGCGGCAAUUGCUAACAUGAUUCAGACAGACUUAAGCAUCGCUAUGGGUGAUAAAGUCUCAUCGUAGUCAACCCCUUGAACUUGUCGAAAACCUUUUACGACAAGUCGAGCUUUUGCAGAUAGUGACAUUACCAUCAGCGUCUGUCUUCUUAAAGAUCCAUUUAUUCUCAAUGGCUUGACGAUCAUCGGGCAAGUCCACCAAAGUCCAUACUUUGUUCUCAUACAUGGAUCCUAUCUCAGAUUUCAUGGCCUCAAACCAUUUAUCGGAAUCUAGGCUCAUCAUAGCUUCUUCAUAGUUCGUAGGUUUGCCAUGGUCUAAUAACGUGACCUUCAGGACAAGAUUACCGUACCAAUCUAGUGCAGAACAUGCUUUGUUCGACCUAUGAGGUCCAGUAGUAACUUGAUCCAAAGUUUCAUGAUCAUCAUUAUUAGCUUCCUCUCCAGUUGGUGUAGGCAUCACAGGAACGGUUUUCUCUGAUGUGCUACUUUCCAAUUCGAGAGAAGGCACAAUUACCUCCAAGUUCUACUUUUCUCCCACUCACUUCUUUCGAGAGAAACUCCUUCUCUAGAAAGGACCCAUUCUUGGCAACAAAGAUCUUGCCUUCAGAUCUGUGAUAGAAGGUGUACCCAAUUGUUUCCUUAGGGUAUCCUACAAAGACGCACUUAUCCGAUUUUGGUUCGAGCUUAUCAGGCUGAAGCCUUUUGACAUAAGUGUCGCAUCCCCAAACUUUAAGAACGACAGCUUAGGUUUCUCACCAAACCAUAGUUCAUACGGUGUCGUCUCAAUGGAUUGAGACGGUGCCCUAUUUAACGUGAUUGCGGCUAUCUCUAAUGCAUAACCCCGAAAUGAUAAAGGCAAAUCAGUAAGAGAUAUCAUAGAACACACCAUAUCUAAUAAAGUACGGUUACAACGUUCGGACACACCAUUACGCUGUGGUGUUCCACCUGGCAUGAGUUGUGAAGCAAUUCCACAUUGUUUUAAAUUAAGGCCAAACUCGUAAAUCAAAUAUUCGCCUCUGCGAUUAGAUCAUAGAAACUUUAUUUUCUUGUUACAAUGAUUCUCCACUUCACUCUGAAAUUCUUUGAACUUUUCAAAUGUGUCAGACUUGUGUUUCAUCAAGUAGAUAUAUCCAUACCUACUUAAAUCAUUUGUGAGGGUCAGAAAAUAAUGAUACCACCGUGUGCUUCAACACUCAUUGGAUUGCAUACAUCAAUAUGUAUUAUUUCCAAUAAGUCAUUAGCUUGCUCCAUUGUUCCGGAGAACAGAGUUUUAGUCAUCUUACCCAUGAGGCAUGGUUCGCAAGUAUCAAAUGAUUCAUAAUUAAGUGAUUCCAAAAGUCCAUCCGCAUGGAGUUUCUUCAUGCGCUUUACACCAAUAUGACCUAAAUGGCAGUGCCACAAGUAUGUUGCAUUAUCAUUAUCAACUUUGUAUCUUUUGGCAUCAAUAUUAUGAAUAUGUGUCUCACUACGAUCGAGAUUCAAUAAACCAUUUACAUUGGGUGUAUGACCAUAGAAGGUUUUAUUCGUGCAAACAGAACAACAAUUAUUCUCUCACUUAAAUAAAUAACCAUAUUUGCAAUAAACACGAUCUAAUCAUGUCCAUGCUCAACGCACACACCAAAUAACAUUUAUUUAGGCUCAACACUAACCCCGAAGGUAGAGGGAGUGUGUGAUGGUGAUCAUAUCAAUCUUGGAAACACUUACAACACUCAUCGUCACCUUGCCCUUAACUAGUCUUCAUUUAUUCUGCAACACCUGUUCCGAGUUUCUAAUCUUAGCAACUGAACCGGUAACAAAUACCCAGGGGCUACUACGAGUACCAGUAAGGUACACAUCAAUAACAUGUAUACCAAAUAUACCUUUGUUUACUUUGCCGUCCCUCUUAUCUGCUAAGUAUUUGGGGCACUUCCGCUUCCAGUGACCAUUUCCUUUGCAGUAGAAGCAGUUAGUCUUAGGCUUGGGUCUACCUUUGGGCUUCUUCCCAGGAGCGGCAACUUGCUUGCCAUUCUUCUUGAAGUUCCAUUUCUUUCCCUUGCCAUUUUUCUUGAAACUAGUGGUCUUAUUAAACAUCAACACUUGAUGCUCUUUCUUGAUUUCUACCUCCGCUGAUUCCAGUAUCGCGAAGAGCUUGGAAAUCAUUUUAGUCAUUCCUUGCAUAUUAUAGUUCAUCACGAAGCUCUAGUAGCUUGGUGAUAGUGAUUGGAGAACUUUGUCAAUCACUAUCUUAUCUAGAAUAUUAACUCCCACUUGAUUCAAGCGAUUGUAGUACCUAGACAUUCUGAGCGCAUGCUCACUGGCUGAGCUAUUCUCCUCCAUCUUGUAGGCAGAGUACUAGUCAGAGGUCCCAUGCCUCUCAACAUGGGCAUGAGCCUGAAAUACCAGUUUCAGCUCUUGGAACAUCUCGUAUGUUCCAUGGCGUUCAAAAUGUCUUUGGAGCCCCGAUACGUCUUUCGAGCCCCGAUUCUAAGCCAUAAAGCAUGGCACACUAAACUAUCUAAUUGUCAUCAUGUCGAGCUUGUCAAACCAUCAUAAUGUCUACAUCAGGUCCUGCAACAGGUCUAUCACCUAGCAGUGCAUCAAGGACAUAAUUCUUCUAUACAGCAAUGAGGAUAAUCCUCAAAUCACGGACCCAGUCCGCGUUAUUGCUACCAUCAUCUUUCAACUUAGUUUUUCUCUAGGAACACAUUAAAAUUUAAGGGAAUGGUAGCACGGGCCAUUGAUCUACAACAUAGAUAUGCAAAAGCUAUUAAGACUAAGUUCAUGAUAAAUUAAGUUCAAUUAAUCAAAAUACUAAUGAACUCCCACUUAAAUUAACCCCCCUCAAGUUAUCUAAGUGAUACAUGAUCCAAAUCAACUAACCCAUGUUUGAUCAUCACAUGAGAUGGGGUAGUCAUCAAUGGUGAACAUCUCUGUGUUGAUCAUAUUUACUAUAUGUCUCAUGUUCGACCUUUCGGUCUCCAGUGUUCCGAGACCAUGUCUGUACAUGCUAGGCUUGUCAAGUUUAACCCAAGUAUUCUGCGUGCGCAAAACAGUCUUAAACCCGUUGUAUGUGAACGUAGAGUCUAUCACACCCGAUCAUCACGAGGUGCCUCGAAACGAUGAACUUUGGCAAUGGUGCAUACUCAGGGACAACACUUUUAUCUUGAAAUUUAGUGAAGGGAUCAUCUUAUAAUGCUACCGCCGCUCUAAGCAAAAUAAGAUGCAUAAAGGAUAAACAUCACAUGUAAUCAAAAUAUGUGACAUGAUAUGGCCAUCAUCAUCUUGUGCUUUUGAUCUCCAUCUCCAAAGCAUCAUCAUGAUCUCCAUCGUCACUGGCUCAACACCUUGAUCUCCAUCGUUGCGUUGGGUUCAUCUCACCAACUAUUGCUUCUACAACUAUUGCUAACACAUAGCGAUAAAGUAACACAAUUACAUGGCACUUGCAUUUUGUACAAUAAUUAAGAGACAACCCUAAGGCUCCUGCCAGUUGUCGAUAUUACAAAACAUGAUCAUCUCAUACAACAACGUAUAUCACAUCAUGUCUUGACUAUAUCACAUCACAACAUGCCCUGCAAAAACAAGUUAGUCGUCCUCUACUUUGUUGUUGUAAGUGUUACGUGGCUGCUACGGGCUUCUAGCAAGAACCAUUCUUAACUUCGCAAAAACCACAACGGUGAUUAUCAAGUUUGUUGUUUUAACCUUCUUCAAGGACCGGCCGUAGUCAAAUUCGAUUCAACUAAAGUAGGAGAAACAGACACAUGCCAGCCACCUUUAUGCAAAACAAGUUGUAUGUCAGUCGGUAGAAGCGGUCUCAUGUGCGUGGACAUGUAAGGUUGGUCCGUGUUACUUCAUCCCACAAUACCGAAUCAAAAUAAGACGUUGGUGGUAAGCAGUAUGACUAUCACCGCCCACAGCUCCUUUGUGUUCUACUCGUGCAUAUCAUGUACGCAUAGACCUGGCUCGGAUGCCACUAUUGGGAAACGUUGCAUAGAAAACAAAAAAAAAUUCUAUGCACACGCAAGAUCUAUCCAUGGAGAUGCAUAGCUACAAGAGGGGAGAGUGUGUCUAUGUACCCUCGUAGAUAGUAAGCGGAAGCGUUUAUUAACGCGGAUGAUGUAGUCAAACUUUUUCGCGAUCCAACCGAUCAAGUACCGAACUUACGUCACCUCCGUGUUCAGCACACAUUCAACUCGGUGACGUCCUCGCCUUCUUGAUCCAGCAAGAUGGCCGAAGUAGUAGAUGAGUUCCGGCAAGACGAUGGCGUGGUGACAGUGGUGAUGAUGCUAUCUCCAUGGGGCUUCACCUAAGCACUCCGAAAACUGUGGAGAGGGGCGCCGCAUACGGCUAAGAGAUUGUCGUGGGCUAUAGGUGGGGGGGGGGAGAGGGGAGGCAGCCAUGAGGCGCCCCCAAGGAGGCCGAAUCCUCCUUGGGAUCCUGCCCUAUCCACUCCUCCCAUCCUUAUUUGUGCAUGGGAGGAAGGCAGGGGGAGGUGCCCCCAUUCCUUUCUCUCAUGAGGAGGGAAAGGCAGGAGGGGCCAACCCUCUCCCUUUCCUUCCCCUAGGGCCGGCAGGCAGGGAGAGGGCACGCCAACCCCUUUGCGGGCUGGUGUGUGCCUCCCCUUGGCCCAUUAGGCCCAUAUAUAGACCUCCCAGGGCCUCCCGGAACCCCUUCCGGUGAUCCGAUGGUUACUCGGUGCAACCCGAAACCUUUCUCGUGUACAAAUAGCAUCGUCCUAUAUAUUAAUCUUUACCUCCGGACCAUUCCACAGCUCCUCGUCAUGUCCGUGAUCUCAUCCGAGACUCCGAACAACAUUCGGUCACCAAAUCACACAACUCAUAUAAUACUAUAUCGUCAACGAACGUUAAGCGUGCGGACCCUACGGGUUCGAGAACUAUGUAGACAUGACCGAGACACCUCUCUGGUCAAUAACCAAUAGCAUAACCUGGAUACCCAUAUUGGUUCCUACAUAUUCUACGAAGAUCUUUAUCGGUCGAACCUUAUGACAACAUACAUAAUUCUCUUUGUCUAUCGGUAUGUUAAUUACCUGCUCAAGAUUCGAUCGUCGGUAUCUUCAUACCUAGUUCAAUAUUGUUACUGGCAAGUCUAUUUACUCGUUCCGUAACACAUCAUCUUGUAACUAACUCCUUAGUCACUUUGCUUGCAAGCUUCUUGUGAUGUGUAUUAGCGAGAGGGCCCAGAGAUACCUCUCCGAUACUCGGAGUGACAAAUCCUAAUCUCGAUCCAUGCCAACUCAACAGACACCUUUGGAGAUACCUGUAGAGCAUAUUUAUGAUCACCCAGUAACGUUGUGACAUUUGAUAGCUCACAAGGUAUUCCUCCGAUAUUCGGGAGUUGCAUGAUCUCAUAGUCGAAGGAAUAUGUAUUUGACAUUAAGAAAGCAAUAGCAAUAAACUGAACGAUCAUAUGCUAAGCUAAUAGAUGGGUCUUGUCCAUCACACCAUUCUACUAAUGAUGUGAACCCGUUAUCAAAUGACAACUCAUGUCUAUGGUUAGGAAAAUUUAACCAUCUUUGAUCAACGAGCUAGUCUAGUGGAGGCUCACUAGGGACACGGUAUUUGUUUAUGUAUCCACACAUGUAUUUAAGUUUCCGGUCAAUACAAUUCUAGCAUGAAUAAUAAACCUUUAUCAUGAUUAAGGAAAUAUAAUAAUAACCAUUUUAUUAUUGCCUCUAGGUCAUAUUUCCAUCAAGACCUUCUUCUUGACUUCAUCCUCAGGCAAACCCGCAAGCUUAAAUAAUCCACAAACUUCAUCCACAUAGAUUAGAUGCAUAUCAGGAUGUAGUGUUCCAUCUCCUACAUAAUGAUUAGCUAGCAAUUUCUCUAUCAUACCCAAAGGAAUUUCAUAAUAAAUAUUUUCAGUAGGUGCAGCAGGUUGAGGAGCAACUCUUUGCUCUUCCGUUUGAGGUGAAGAUACCCCGAACAAGCCCCUCAAAGGACGAUUUUCCAUAGUGACAAGUGACAGUAAAUUUUGGCACGUAGUAUAAAUGUUUCCUUACCAAAUUCCACUUACCAAAGGCGCUUCACUCCCUGACAACGGUGCCAGAAAAGAUUCUUGAUGACCCAUGAGUAUGGGGGAUCAAUCUUAGUCCUUUCGAUAAGUAAGGAUGUCGAACCCAACACGGAGCAGAAGGAAAUGACAAGCGGUUUUCAGCAAGGUAUUUUCUGCAGGCACUAAAAUUAUCAAUAAUAGAUAGUUUUGUGAUAAGAUAACUCGUAACGAGUAACAAGUAACAAGUGUAACAAAGGUGCAGAAAUGUGGCCCAAUCCUGGACGAACUCUUAUAUAAAGUAAAGUGCUCCUGAAGACACAUGUGAAUUACUGUCAAGUUAGUUUUCAUCAUGCUCAUAUAAUCUGCGUCCGUUACUUUUAUAAUUUGAUAUGUGGGUGGACCGAUGCUUGGGUGUUGUCCUUACUUGGACAAGCCUCCCACUUAUGAUUAACCCCUCUCGCAAGCAUCCACUGAAGGAAAUAUGCCCUAGAGGCAAUAAUAAAGUUGUUAUUUAUAUUUCUGUAUAUCAUGAUAAAUGUUUAUUAUUCAUGCUAGAAUUGUAUUAACCGGAAACUUGAUACAUGUGUGAAUACAUAGACAAAACAAAGUGUCCCUAGUAUGCCUCUACUUGACUAGCUCGUUAAUCAAAGAUGGUUAAGUUUCCUGACCAUAGACAUGAGUUGUCAUUUGAUGAACGGGAUCACAUCAUUAGGAGAAUGAUGUGAUGGACAACACCCAUUCGUUAGCUUAGCAUAAUGAUCCUUAAGUUUUAUGGCAAUUGUUUUCUUCAUGACUUAUACAUAUUCCUCUGACUAUGAGAUUAUGCAACUCCCGAAUACCGGAGGAACACCUUGUGUGCUAUCAAACGUCACAACGCAACUAGGUGAUUAUAAAGAUGCUCUACAGGUGUCUCCGAAGGUGUUUGUUGGGUUGGCAUAGAUCAAGAUUAGGAUUUGUCACUCCGAGUAUCAGAGAGGUAUCUCCGGGCCCUCUUGGUAAUGCACAUCACUAUAAGCCUUGCAAGCAAUGUGACUAAUGAGUUAGUUACGGGAUGAUGCAUUACAGAACGAGUAAAGAGACUUGCCGAUAACAAGAUUGAACUAGGUAUGAGGAUACUGACGGUCGAAUCUCGAGCAAGUAACAUACCGAUGACAAAGGGAAUAACGUAUGUUGUUAUUGCGGUUUGACCGAUAAAGAUAUUCAUAGAAUAUGUAGGAACCAAGAUGAGCAUCCAGGUUCCGCUAUUGGUUAUUGACCGGAGAUGUGUCUCGGUCAUGUACAUAGUUCUCGAACCCGUAGGGUCCGCACACUUAACGUUCGAUGACGAUUUGUAUUAUGAGUUAUGUGUUUUGGUGACCGAAGUUUGUUCGAAGUCCCGGAUGAGAUCACUGACAUGAUGAGGAGUCUCGAAAUGGUCAAGAGGUAAAGAUUGAUAUAUUGAACGAUGAUAUUCGGACACCGAAAUGGUUUCAAAAUGGUUCAGGUAUAUUUCAGAGUACCGAGGGGUUACCAGAACCCCCCGGGGAAGUAUUGGGCCUACAUGGGCCUUAGUGGAGAGAGAGGGGAGCCCGCAAGGGGUGGCCGCACGUCCCUUUCCAAGGGAGUCUGAAUAGGACAAGGAGGAGGGGCACCCCCCUUUCCCUCUCCCUCUCUUUCCUUUUCCCCUCCAAUGAGAAAGGAAAAGGGGGAUCCUACUAGGAGUGGAGUCCUAGUAGGACUUCCCCCAUGGCGCACCCCCUUGGUGGCCGGCCUCCUCCUCCCCUCCUUUAUAUACGGGGGCAGGGGGCAUCCCAUAACACAUCAAUUGUUCUCUUAGCCGUGUGCGGUGCCGCCCUCCACAGUUUACUCCUCCGGUCAUAGCGUCGUAGUGCUUAGGCAAAGCCCUACGCGGAUCACUUCACCAUCACCGUCACCACGCCGUCGUGCUGACGGAAAUAUCCCUCGACCCUCUGCUGGAUCAAGAGUUCAAGGGACGUCAUCGAGCUGAAUGUGUGCUGAACUCAGAGGUGCUGUACGUUUGGCACUAGAUCGGUUGGAUCGUGAAGAUGUUUGACUACAUCAACCGCAUUAACCUAACGCUUCCGCUUUCAGUCUACGAGGGUACGUGGACACACUCUCCCCCUCUCGUUGCUAUGCAUCUCUGAUACGUCUCCAAGGUAUCUACUUUUCCUAACGCUUUUCCUAUUAUUUUGGACUCUAAUUUGCAUGAUUUGAAUGAAACUAACCCCGGACUGACGCUGUUUUGAGCAGAACUACCAUGGUGUUGUUUUUGUGCAGAAAUAAAAGUUCUUGGAAUCGAAAAAAAAUUUGCAAGGAUUUUUUAUAUCAAUAAUAAGAAUUUCUGGAGCCAAGACCCACCAGAGGGGGGAACCUAGGUGAGCACAACCCACCAGGGCGCGCCCCUCUCCUGGCGCGCCCAGGUGGGUUGUUCCCACCUCGUGGCCCCACAAACCCUGAAACCGACGCUAUGAAAUCCUAUUUUUCCAGAAAAAAUCAGAGAGAAAGAAUUAUCGCGAUCCAUUUUCUUCACCGGGAGGCUAGAUCUGGAGUCCGUUUGGGGCUCUGGAGAGGGGGAUCUUCGUUCUUCGUCAUCACCAACCCUUCUCCAUCGCCAAUUCCAUGAUGCUCCCCACCGGGAGUGAGGAAUUCCUUCGUAGGCUUGCUGGUCGGUGAGGAGUUGGAUGAGAUUCAUCAUGUAAUCGAGUUAGUUUUGUUAGGGCUUGAUCGCUAGUAUCCACUAUGUUCUAAGGUUGAUGUUGCUAUGACUUUGCUAUGCUUAAUGCUUGUCACGUUGGGCCCGGGUGCCAUGAUUUUAGAUCUGAACCAUUUAUGUUAUCACCAUUAUAUCCAUGUUCUAGAUCCGAUCUUGCAAGUUAUAGUCACCUACUACGUGUUAUGAUCCGGCAACCCCACAGUGACAAUAGCCGGGACCACUCCUAGUGAUGACCGUAGUUUGAGGAGUUCAUGUAUUCACCACGUGUUAAUGCUUUGUUCCGGUUCUCUAUUAAAAGGAGGCCUUAAUAUCCCUUAGUUUCCAAUAUGGACCCCGCUGCCAUGAGAGGGUAGGAAAAAAGAUGUCAUGCAAGUUCUUUCCAUAAGCACGUAUGACUAUUUACUGAAUACAUGCCUACAUUAUAUUGAUGAACUGGAGCUAGUGCCAUAUCACCCUAGGUUAUAACUGUCUCAUGAUGAAUAUCAUCCAACAAGUCACCAAUCCAAUGCCUACGCAUUUAUCCUAUAUUGUUCUUGCUAAGUUACUACUGCUAUCACUGUUACCGUUACUAUUGCUACUAUCACCAUUAUCGAAACUAUCAUAUUACUUUGCUACUGAUCACGUUGCUGCUGAUAAUUAAUCUCCAGGUGUGGUUGAAUUGACAACUCAGCUGCUAAUACCUUCAAAUAUUCUUUGGCUCGCCUUGUGUCAAAUCUAUAAAUUUGGGUCGAAUACUCUACCCUCGAAAACUGUUGCGAUCCCCUAUACUUGUGGGUUAUCAAGAACUUUUUAUGGCGCCGUUGCCGAGGAGCAUAUCUAUAUUUGUUGAGUCACUUGGGAUUAUUAUCAUAUUAUCACUAUGAAGAAUCUGAAGGAUGCUAAGACUAAGAUAUUUCCCUCAAAGACGAGGGGAGGUAAGGAACUGCCAUCCAGUUCUGCUUUAGAUUCACCUUUUGUUAUAAGUAAACUUGCAACACCACCACAUGCUAUUAAUUCUGAUAUAUUGCAAGUUACUGAUGAUGCUACUUCUCCUAUGGAUAAUUCUUAUGAUGAUGCUAGUACCUUGCUUAAUGCUGAUGUGUCACUUGGUGACUUUCUUGAUAAACAAAUUGCUAGAUUUAUACAACAUGAUGUUGUUGAAUCUGAUGAUGAGCUUGAAACUGAAACUCCUGAAACACCUACUAGAACUAGCCCUCCUAGAUAUGAAUUGCCUAAGGUACCGGAAGGUUAUGUUAUGAGUGAAGAAACAACUAGAGAUAUUCUUGCUUGUAGAGAUAGAGAUGAUCUAGAGAAAUUUUUAUGCAAGUAUGAAGAAAAAUCUCUGAAUGCUAGAAUGAAAUGUGAUCCUAAGUUUGCUACUUCACCUAUCUUUAUUGAUGAUAAGGAUUAUGAAUUCUCUGUCGACCCAGAGUUAAUUACUUUGGUUGAAUCUGAUUCUUUCCAUGGUUAUGAAACUGUUGUGGCACAUCUUACUAAGUUGAAUGACAUAGCCACCCUUUUUACUCAUGAUGAGAAAACUCGCUAUUACUUUAUUCUCAAAUUAUUUCAGUUCUCAUUAAAGGGUGAUGCUGAAGCUUGGUACAAUACUCUUGCUCCUGGUUGUGUGCGUAGUCCCCACGAUAUGAUUUAUUACUUCUCUGAAAAAUAUUUCCCUGCCCAUAAGAAACAAGCUACCUUGCAGGAUAUAUUUAACUUUGUUCAAAUUAAAGAAGAGAGUAUCCCACAUGUUUGGGGGAGGCUUUGCCAGUUACUUAAUGCUUUGCCUGAUCAUCCUCUUAAGAAAUAUGAAAUACUUGAUAUCUUCUAUAAUGGACUAACCGAUGCUUCUAGGGACUUCCUAGAUAAUUGUGUUGGUUGUGUUUUCAGGGAACGAACUAUUGGACAAGCUGAAGAAUUAUUGAAUAACAUAUUGAAAAAUUAUGAUGAUUGGACUCUUCCUGAACCACCGCCUAAACCCACUCCAAAGAAGAGGGGUAUAUUAUAUUUCAGUCUUGAAGAUAUGCAAGAGGCAAAGAAAUCUAUGAAGGAAAGAGGUAUUAAAGCUGAGAUGUUAAAAAUUUACCUCCUAUUGAAGAAAUACAUGGGCUUAAUACACCACCACUGCCUAAGGUGGUAGAGGUAAAUUCUCUUAUGAAGUUCAGUGAUAAUGAUAAUCCUCACAAUAUGCAUCCUAGCCAAUGCCUUUACGAGUUUGAAAAUUAUAUUAGAAAACAAGAUCACUUCAAUGCAAAUGUUAUGAAACAAUUGAAAUACAAUUAUGAUAUGAUUGCUCACUUGAGUGACUUGUUAUUUAGAAUAUCAAAUGAUGUUAGAGGUGUUGGAAAGCAUGCUUCUAUGGUUCAAACUCAGUUAGAACAAGUUGCUAAAUCUCAAAGAGAAUUGCUUGAUGAAAUGAAUAAUACUAUGCAUGACUUUGCUGUUAGAGUUGCAACUAGAGGAGGUAAAAUGACUCAGGAACCACUUUAUCCUGAGGGACACCCAAAAAGAAUUGAACAAGAUUCACCAAAAUCUAACACUAGUGCACCCAGUCCUUCUAGAAAGAAAACGAAAAAGAAAAAUGAUAGGACUUUGCAUGCCUCUAGUGAACCUGAAAUAGAGAAACCUCAUGAUAAUGAUAAUGAAACUUCUAUCUCUGAUGCUAAAACCCAGUCUGGUAAUGAACACUCACCUAGUGAUAAUGAAAAAGAUAAUGUUGAUGUUCAUGAAGAUACCCAACCAAAUAAUAAAGAACCAGAAAAUGAUGUUGAGAUAGAACCACCUGUUGAUCUUGAUAACCCACAACCUAAGAAUAAAAGGUAUGAUAAAAGAGACUUCAUUGCUAGAAAACACGAUAAAGAAAGAGAACCGUGGGUUCAAAAACCUAUGCCUUUUCCACCUAAGUCAACUAAAAAGAAUGAUGAUGAAGAAUUUGAACACUUUGUUGAAACACUGAGGCCAGUCUUUUUGCGUACUCGCUUGACCGAUAUCUUGAAAGUGCCUCCCUAUGCAAAGUAUAUGAAAGACAUCAUCACUAAUAAAUGGAAAAUACCGAAAGCUGAAAUCUCGACUAUGCUUGAUAAUUAUACUUUUAAAGAUGGAGUACCUAAAAAACUUGGAGAUCAGGGAAUUCCAACUAUACCUUGCUCCAUCAAAAAGAAUUAUGUGAAAACUGCUUUGUGUGAUUUAGGAGCUGGUGUUAGUGUUAUGCCUUUCUCUUUGUAUAAAAGACUUGAUUUGAAUAAACUCACACCUACUGAAAUAUCUUUGCAAAUGGCUGAUAAAUCAACUGCCAUACCUAUCAGUAUCUGUGAGGAUGUGCCUGUUGUUGUUGCUAAUGCUACUAUUUUGACUGACUUUGUUAUACUUGAGAUGCCCGAGGACGACAACAUGUAGAUUAUCCUUGGUAGACCCUUCUUGAAUACUGUAGGGGCUGUUAUUGAUUGCAAUAAAAGCAAGGUCACUUUUCAUAUCAAUGGUAAUGAGCAUAUGGUGCACUUUCCGAAGAAACAAUGCCAAGUGAAUGGUAUUGAUGUUAUUGAAAAAUCUCCGACAAUCACUAUUGGAAGUUUUCAAAUACCUCUACCUAUUGUCAAAAGGAAAUAUUAAACGCUUAUUGUUGGGGACAUUCAUAUCCCCAUUGAGGUAACUUAGUGAUUUACGAAAGUUCUUCGGUUUCAUGCUAAUCGAAAGUGGUUGUUAAUAAGACUUGAUCAACCUUAUUAAUGAAUCAUUUUUGAGCGGUAUGACGUUGAUGAAUUUAGUAAGCACUACCUUCUUCCCCUAAUUUUUAUUUUCUGUUUUCUUAGUUAAAUAAAAUAAAAUGCCUUGUUCUAUCUGUUUUCUGAAUUUCCCGUGCAAUAAAAAAUGACCAAAAAAUAAAAGUCCUCAGAAUGCCCUGAAAAUUUAAUACGAUUUUUUCUGAAUAUUUAAGAUUUUUCUAGUGCAAAUAACAUCAAAGGGACGUGCACCAGGUGGGCACAACCCACCUGGGCUCGCCAGGACCCCCAGGCAUGCCCUGGUGGGUUAUGGUCCCCACGUGGGCCCCUCACUUAUCUCUUCAUACCAUAUCAUCACCUACCUCCAGAAAAAAAUCUCCCUUGCUCCCUCUCCCGUGUUCUUGCUCUCAAGCCCGUGGAUUUCGAUCUGUUUGCUCGAAGCUCCAUUUUUGAAACUGUUUCAGGGGAUUGUUGCUUGGUACGUGACUCCACGGUUUGUCCAAUUAGUUUUUGUUUUAGUAGUUUAUAUUUUGAAUAAUUAGCUACUCUUGGUCCUGCUGUAGAUGUGCUUGCAUGUUGAAUUCUUAGUGUUCUAAGUAGUUUGAAUGCUUGCUAUGGCCUCUAUGUAUCCCUAUGAGUAGUUGCUAUCAAUCUUGUAAAGUUCUGUUGAUAAAUUUUUGUCACCCAAAAAUUUUCAGAAAAUUGUACGCGAACAUGAUGAACCUAUUUGGAAGGAACUCUUCGAGGAGGAGAUCCUCGGGGGCAUCUUCUAGUGACAGCUCCGCUCGCCGGUCAUAUGUUAAACCAAGUGAAAGUUCUACUCGAGAUGCCGCCACCAAAACAUGCUUAUGGCCUUGCAAUGAGUAUAUGAUGUGUGUGGGUAUUAAAGAAGAAUUUGAGCAAUAUGUUCACAAUGUUGGUCUCGGUCCUUACAUUUCUGAUAAGUGUGAACAACGCCACCUUCUCACUGAAUCAUUUGUCAAAGGAUUUAAAUUCCUUCCCCGUGAGUCUAGGGUGUAGUUUAUGCUUUAUGAUAACCCAUAUACCAUAUCACUAGAGAAUUUUGCUUACCACUGCAAACUCCCGUUCUGGGGUUCGCUUGAUGAACCACCAAGGGCUGAGUAUCAAACAUUCUUGACUAGUCUUUGCUAUGGUGAGACGAGGGGAGUGACACAAGGUAGAAUAAAGAGCAUUCAUUUUCCCGCAAUUCAGUACUUUGCAUUAUUUAAUGGGAAAUGUAUAGUAGGCAAGCAAGACUAUAGUACACUUUGUGCUCCAGACUGCUUUCACCGGUGAAAGGAAUUAUAACCUUGGAGCGAUUGUUGCACGCAGACUUCAGCACAAUGCUAACAGUGGCUAUUUCUAUGGUGGAAUAUAUGCCAGGCGUUUAGCUCGAGGGUUGGGUGUUGCACCUUUUGAAGGAAAUAUGCCCUAGAGGCAAUAAUAAAGUUGUUAUUUAUAUUUCCUUAUAUCAUGAUAAAUGUUUAUUAUUCAUGCUAGAAUAGCAUUAACCGGAAACUUAGUACAUGUGUGCAUACAUAGACAAACAGAGUGUCCCUAGUAUGCCUCUACUUGACUAGCUCGUUAAUCAAAGAUGGUUAAGUUUCCUAGCCAUAGACAUGCGUUGUCAUUUGAUGAACGGGGUCACAUCAUUAGAGAAUGAUGUGAUGGACAAGAGCCAUCAGUUAGCUUAGCAUAAUGAUCGUUUAGUUUUUCUGCUAUUGCUUUCUUCAUGACUUAUACAUGUUCCUCAGACUAUGAGAUUAUGCAACUCCCGAAUACCUGAGGAACACCUUGUGUGCUAUAAAAUGUCACAAUGUAACUAGGUGAUUAUAAAGAUACUCUACAGGUGAAUCCGAUGGUGUUUGUUGAGUUGGCAUAGAUCAAGAUUAGGAUUUGUCACUCCGUGUAUCAAAGAGGUAUCUAUGGGCCCUCUCGGUAAUGCACAUCACUAUGAGCCUUGCAAGCAAUGUGUCUAAUGAGUUAGCCACGGGAUGAUGCAUUACAGAACGAGUAAAGAGAAUUGCCGGUGACGAGAUUGAACUAGGCAUGAUGAUACCGACGAUCGAAUCUCAGGCAAGUAACAUACUGAUGACAAAGGGAACAACAUAUGUUGUUAUGCGGUUUGACCGAUAAAUAUCUUCGUAGAAUAUGUAGGAGCCAAUAUGAGCAUCUAGGUUCCGCUGUUGGUUAUUGACCGGAGAUGUGUUUCGGUCAUGUCUACAUAGUUCUCGAACCCGUACGGUCCGCACGCUUAACGUUCAAUGACGAUUUGUAUUAUGAGUUUCGUGUUUUGAUGAACCAAAGUUUGUUCGGAGUCCUGGAUGAGAUCACGGACAUGAUGAGGAGUCUUGAAAUGGUCGAGACAUAAAGAUUGAUAUAUUGGAAGGUUAUGUUUGGACAGCGGAAUGGUUUCGGAUAGGUUCGGGCAUUNNNNNNNNNNNNNNNNNNNNNNNNNNNNNNNNNNNNNNNNNNNNNNNNNNNNNNNNNNNNNNNNNNNNNNNNNNNNNNNNNNNNNNNNNNNNNNNNNNNNNNNNNNNNNNNNNNNNNNNNNNNNNNNNNNNNNNNNNNNNNNNNNNNNNNNNNNNNNNNNNNNNNNNNNNNNNNNNNNNNNNNNNNNNNNNNNNNNNNNNNNNNNNNNNNNNNNNNNNNNNNNNNNNNNNNNNNNNNNNNNNNNNNNNNNNNNNNNNNNNNNNNNNNNNNNNNNNNNNNNNNNNNNNNNNNNNNNNNNNNNNNNNNNNNNNNNNNNNNNNNNNNNNNNNNNNNNNNNNNNNNNNNUGCCCAGUCCGAAUUGGACAAGGGGAGGGGGUGGCGUCCCCCUCCUUCCUUCUCUUCUCUCCUCUUUCCCUUCUUCUCCUACUUAGACUAGGAAAUGGGGGGGGGGACCGAAUCCUACUUGGACUAGGAGUCCAAGUAGGACUCCCCCCAUGGUGCGCCCCCUCCUAGGGUCCGCCUCCUCUCCUCCCCCCUUUAUAUACGUGGGGAGGGGGAAUCCCAAAGACACACAAGUUGAUCUUUUAGCCCUGUGCAGUGCCCCCCUCCACAGUUACACACCUCGGUCAUAUUGUUGUAGUGCUUAGGCGAAGCCCUGCGUCGGUAACUUCAUCAUCACCAUCACCAUGCUGUCGUGCUAAAGGAACUCUCCCUUGGACUCAACUGGAUCAAGAUCUCGAGGGAUGUCAUCGAGCUGAACGUGUGCUGAUCGCGGAGGUGUUGUGCAUUCGGUACUUGGAUCAGUUGGAUCGCGAAGAUGUUCUACUACAUCAACCACGUUACUAAAUGCUUACGCUUUCGGUCUACGAGGGUAUGUAUACACACUCUCCCCUCUCGUUGCUAUGCAUCUUCUAGAUAGAUCUUGCAUGAUCGUAGGUAAAAUUUUGAAAUACUGCAUUCCCCAACAGUGGCAUCCGAGCCAGGUCUAUGUGUAGAUGUUAUAUGCACGAGUAGAACACAAUGAGUUGUGGGCGAUAAUAGUCAUACUACUUACCAACAUGUCUUACUUUGAUUCAGCGGUAUUGUUGGAUGAAGCGGCCCAGACCGACAUUACAUGACCGCAUUCAUGAGACUGGUUCUACCGACGUGCUUCGCACACAGGUGGCUAGUGGGUGUCUGUUUCUCCAACUUUAGUUGAAUCAAGUUUGACUACGCCCAGUCCUUGCUGAAGGUUAAAAUAGCACACUUGACGAAAAAUCGUUGUAGUUUUGAUGCGUAGGUAAGAACGGUUCUUGAUAGAAGCCCGUAGAAGCCACAUAAAACUUGUAACAACAAAGUAGAGGACGUCUAACUUGUUUUUGCAGGGCUUGUUGUGAUGUGAUAUGGUCAAGACGUGAUGAUAUAUAAAUUGUUGUAUGAGAUGAUCAUGUUUUGUAACAGUUAUCGACAACUGGCCGAAGCCAUAUGGUUGUCGCUUUAUUGUAUGAAAUGCAAUCGCCAUGCAAUUGCUUUACUUUAUCACUAAGCGGAAGCGGUAGUCGUAGAAGCAAUAGUUGGCGAGAUGACAACGAUGCUACGAUGGAGAUCAAGGUGUCAAGCCGGUGACGAUGGUGAUCAUGACGGUGCUUUGGAUAUGGAGAUCAAAGGCACAAGAUGAUGAUGGACAUAUCAUAUCACUUAUUUUGAUUGCAUUUGAUGUUUAUCUUUUAUGCAUCUUAUUUUGCUUAGUACGGCAGUAGCAUUACAAGAUGAUCUCUCACUAAAUUUCAAGGUACAAGUGUUAUCCCUGAGUAUGCACUGUUGCUACAGUUCGUCGUGCCGAGACACCACGUGAUGAUCGGGUGUGAUAAGCUCUACGUUCACAUACAACGGGUGCAAGCCAGUUUUGCACAAGUAGAAUACUCAUGUAAAACUUGACGAGCCUAGCAUAUGCAUAUAUGGCCUCGGAACACUGAGACCGAAAGGUCGAGCGAGAAUCAUAUAGUAGAUACGAUCAACAUAAUGAUGUUCACCAUUGAAAACUACUCCAUCUCACGUGAUGAUCGGACAUGGUUUAGUUGAUGUGGAUCAUGUGAUCAUUUAGAUGACUAGAGAGAUGUCUAUCUAAGUGGGAGUUCUUAAGUAAUACGAUUAAUUGAACUUUAAUUUAUCAUGAACUUAGUACCUGAUAGUAUUUUGCAUGUCUAUGUUGUUGUAGAUAAAUGGCCCGUGCUACUGUUCCUUUGAAUUUUAAUGCGUUCGUAGAGAAAGCUACGUUGAAAGAUGAUGGUAGCAACUACACAGACUGGGUCCUUAACUUGAGGGUUAUCCUCAUUGCUGCACAGAAGAAUUACGUCCUGGAAGUACCGCUAGGUGCAAAGCCCAUUGCAGGAGCAACACCGGAUGUUAUGAACGUCUGGCAGAUCAAAGCUGAUGACUACUCGAUAGUUUAGUGUGCCAUGCUUUACGGCUUAGAAUCAGGACUUCAACGACGUUUUGAACGUCAUGGAGCAUAUGAGAUGUUCUAGGAGUUGAAGUUAAUAUUUCAAGCAAAUGCCCCAAUUGAGAGACAUGAAGUCUCCAAUAAGUUCUAUAGCUGCAAGAUGGAGGAGAAUAGUUAUGUCAGUGAACGUAUACUCAGAAUGUCUGGGUACCAGAACCACUUGACUCAACUAGGAGUUAAUCUUCCUGAUGAUAGUGUCAUUGACAGAGUUCUUCAAUCACUGCCACCAAGCUACAAAAGCUUCAUGAUGAACUAUAAUAUGCAAGGGAUGGAUAAGACAAUUCCCAAGCUCUUCGCAUUGCUAAAAGCUGCGGAGGUAGAAGUCAAGAAGGAGCAUCAAGUGUUGAUGGUCAACAAGACCACUAGAUUCAAGAAGAAGGGCAAAGGGAGAGGGGAACUUCAAGAAGAAGAGCAAGCAAGUUGCUUCUCAAGUGAAGAAACCAAAUUCUGGACCUAAGCCUGAGACUGAGUGCUUCUACUGCAAAUGGACUGAUCACUGGAAGCAGAACUGCCCCAAGUAUUUGGCGGAUAAGAAGGAUGGCAAAGUGAAAGGUAUAUUUGAUAUACAUGUUAUUGAUGUGUACCUUACUAAUGCUCGCAGUAGUGCCUGGGUAUUUGAUACUGGUUCUGUUGCUCAUAUUUGCUACUCAAAACAAGGGCUACAGAUUAAGCGAAGAUUGGCUAAGGACGUGGUGACGAUGCGCAUGGGAAAUGGUUCUGAAGUCGAUGUGAUCGCAGUUGGCAUGCUACCUCUACAUCUACCUUCGGGAUUAGUUUUAGACAUGAAUGCUUGUUACUUGGUGCCAGCGUUAAGCAUGAACAUUAUAUCUGGAUCUUGUUUGCUACGAGAUGGUUACUCAUUUAAAUUAGAGAAUAAUGGUUGUUCUAUUUAUAUGAGUAAUAUCUUUUAUGGUCAUGCACCCUUGAUGAGUGGUCUAUUUUUAUUGAAUCUCGAUAGUAGUGAUGCACAUAUUCAUAGUAUUGAAGCCAAAAGAUAUAAGUUUAAUAAUGAUAGUGCAACUUAUUUGUGGCACUGCCAUUUAGGUCAUAUUGGUGUAAAGCGCAUGAAGAAACUCCAUGCUGAUGGGAUUUUGGAAUCACUUGAUUAUGAAUCACUUGAUGCUUGCGAACCAUGCCUCAUGGGAAAGAUGACCAAGACUCCGUUCUCUGGAAGAAUAGAGCGAGCAACAGACUUAUUGGAAAUAAUACAUACUGAUGUAUGUGGUCCGAUGAGUAUUGAUGCUCGUGGCGGGUAUUGUUAUUUUCUGACCUUCAUAGAUGAUUUGAGCAGAUAUGGGUAUAUCUACUUGAUGAAACAUAAGUCUGAAACAUUUGAAAGGUUCAAAGAAUUUCAGAGUGAAGUGGAAAGUCAUCGUAAAAAGAAAAUUAAGUUUCUACGAUCUGAUCGUGGAGGUGAAUAUUUGAGUUAUGAGUUUGGUCUUCAUUUGAAGCAAUGCGGAAUAGUUUCGCAACUCACGCCACCUGGAACACCACAUCGUAAUGGUGUGUCCGAACAUCGUAACCGCACUUUAUUAGAUAUGGUGCGAUCUAUGAUGUCUCUUACUAAUUUACCGCUAUCAUUUUGGGGUUAUGCUUUAGAGACGGCUGCAUUCACAUUAAAUAGGAACCAUCAAAAUUCUUUGACACGACACCAUAUGAACUAUGGUUUGGCAAGAAACCCAAGUUGUCAUUUCUUAAAGUUUGGGGCUGCGAUGCUUAUGUGAAAAAGCUUCAACCUGAUAAGCUCGAACCCAAAUCGGAGAAAUGUGUCUUUAUAGGAUACCCAAAGGAGACUGUUGGGUACACCUUCUAUCACAGACCCGAAGGCAAGAUAUUCAUUGCUAAGAAUGGAUCCUUUCUAGAGAAGGAGUUUCUCUCGAAAGAAGUGAGCGGAAGGAAAGUAGAACUUGAUGAGGUAACCGUACCUUCUCCCUUAUUGGAAAGUAGUUCAUCACAGAAAUCAGUUCCAGUGAUUCCUACACCAAUUAGUGAGGAAGCUAAUGAUGAUGAUCAUGAAACUUCUGAUCAAGUUACUACCGAACCUCGUAGGUCAACCAAAGCAAGAUCCGCACCACAGUGGUACAGUAAUCCUGUUCUAGAGGUCAUGUUACUUGACCAUGAUGAACCUACAAACUAUGAGGAAGCGAUGAUGAGCCCAGAUUCCGCAAAAUGGCUUGAGGCCAUGAAAUAUGAGAUGGGAUCCAUGUAUGAGAACAAAGUGUGGACUUUGAUUGACUUGCCCGAUGAUCGGCAAGCCAUAGAGAAUAAAUGGAUCUUCAAGAAGAAGACUGAUGCUAACGGUAAUAUUACUAUCUACAAAGCUCAACUUGUUGCAAAAGGUUUUCGACAAGUUCAAGGAGUUGACUACGAUGAGACCUUCUCACCCGUAGCGAUGCUUAAGUCUGUCCGAAUCAUGUUAGCAAUUGCCGCAUUAUAUGAUUAUGAAAUUUGGCAAAUGGAUGUCAAAACUGCAUUCCUUAAUGGAUAUCUCAAAGAAGAGUUGUAUAUCAUGCAACCAGAAGAUUUUGUCUAUCCUAAAGGUCCUAACAAAGUGUGCAAGCUCCAGCGAUCCAUUCAUGGACUGGUGCAAGCCUCUCGGAGUUGGAAUAUAUGCUUUGAUAGUGUGAUCAAAGCAUAUGGUUUUAUAUAGACUUUUGGAGAAGCCUGUAUUUACAAGAAAGUGAGUGGGAGCACCGUAGCAUUUCUGAUAUUAUAUGUGGAUGACAUAUUGUUGAUCGGAAAUGAUACCGAAUUUCUGAAUAGCAUAAAAGGAUACUUGAAUAAGAAUUUUUCAAUGAAAGACCUUGGUGAAGCUGCUUAUAUAUUGGGCAUCAAGAUCUAUAGAUGUAGAUCAAGACACUUAAUUGGACUUUCACAAAGCACAUACCUUGAUAAAGUUUGGAAGAAGUUCAAAAUUGGUCAGUCAAAGAAAGGGUUCUUGCCUGUGUUACAAGGUGUGAAGUUGACUCAGACUCAAUGCCAGACCACUUCAGAAGAUAGAGAGAAAAUGAAAGUCAUUCCCUAUGCCUCAGCCAUAGGUUCUAUCACGUAUGCAAUGCUGCGUACCAGACCUAAUGUGUGCCUUGCUAUUAGUUUAGCAGGGAGGUACCAAAGUAAUCCAGGAGUGGAUCACUGGAUGAUGGUCAAAAACAUCCUGAAAUACCUAAAAAGGACUAAGGAUAUGUUUCUCGUUUAUGGAGGUGACAAAGAGCUCGUCGUAAACGGUUACGUCGAUGCAAGCUUUGACAUUGAUCCGGAUGACUCUAAGUCACAAACCAGAUACAUAUUUUUAUUGAAUGGUGGAGCUGUCAGUUAGUGCAGUUCUAAGCAGAGCGUCGUGGCGGGAUCUAUGUGUGAAGCGGAAUACAUAGCUACUUCGGAAGCAGCAAAUGAAGGAGUCUGGAUGAAGGAGUUCAUAUCUGAUCUAUGUGUAAUACCUAGUGCAUCGGGUCCAAUGAAAAUCUUUUGCGACAAUACUCUUGCAAUUGCCUUGGCAAAGGAAUCCAGAUUUCACAAGAGAACCAAGCACAUCAAGAGAUGCUUCAAUUCCAUCCGCGAUCAAGUCAAGGAGAGAUACAUAGAGAAUUGCAAGAUACAUAUGGAUCUGAAUGUUGUAGACCCAUUGACUAAGUCUCUCUCACGAGAAAACAUGAUCAACACCAAGACUCCAUGUGUGUUAGAAUCAUUACUAUGUAAUCUAGAUUAUUGACACUAGUGCAAGUGGGAGACUGAAGGAAAUAUGCCCUAGAGGCAAUAAUAAAGUUCUUAUUUAUAUUUCCUUAUAUCAUGAUAAAUGUUUAUUAUUCAUGCUCGAAUUGUAUUAACCGGAAACUUAGUACAUGUGUGAAUACAUAGACAAACAGAGUGUCCCUAGCAUGCCUCUACUUGACUAGCUCGUUAAUUAAAGAUGGUUAAGUUUCCUAGCCAUAGACAUGUGUUUUCAUUUGAUGAACGAGAUCACAUCAUUAGAGAAUUAUGUGAUGGAAAAGCCCCAUCAGUUAGCUUAGCAUAAUGAUUGUUUAGUUUUUCUGCUAUUGCUUUCUUCAUGACUUAUACAUGUUCCUCAGACUAUGAGAUUAUGCAACUCCCGAAUACCGUAGGAACACCUUGUGUGAUAUCAAGCGUCACAACGUAACUGGGUGAUUAUAAAGAUGCUCUACAGGUGACUCCGAUGGUGUUUGUUGAGUUGGCAUAGAUCAAGAUUAGGAUUUGUCACUCAGUGUAUCAGAGAGGUAUCUCUGGGCCCUCUCGGUAAUGCACAUCACUAUGAGCCUUGCAAGCAAUGUUUCUAAUGAGUUAGCCAUGGGAUGAUGCAUUAUAGAAUGAGUAAAGAGACUUGCCGGUGACGAUAUUGAACUAGGUAUGAUGAUACCGACGAUCGAAUCUUGGGCAAGUAACAUACCGAUGACAAAGGGAACAACGUAUGUUGUUAUACAGUUUGACGAUAAAGAUCUUCGUAGAAUAUGUAGGAGCCAAUAUGGGCAUCUAGGUUCCGCUUUUGGUUAUUGAUUGGAGAUGUGUCUCGGUCAUGUCUACAUAGUUCUCGAACCAGUAGGGUCUGCACGCUUAAUAUUCAAUGACGAUUUGUAUUAUGAGUUUUGUGUUUUGAUGAACCGAAGUUUGUUUGGAGUCCCAGAUGAGAUCAUGGACAUGACGAGGAGUCUCAAAAUGGUCGAGACAUAAAGAUUGAUAUAUUGUAAGGUUAUGUUUGGACACCAGAACGGUUUCGGAUAGGUUCGGGCAAUUUCCAGAGUACCGGGGGUUUACCGGAACCCCCUGGGGAUUGAUGGGCCACAAUGGGCCUUAGUGGAGAAGAGAGAGAGAGAGAGAGCCGGCCAGAGGUGGCGCCCCCCUUGCCUAGUCCGAAUUGGACAAGUGGAGAGGGCGGCGCCCCCCUCAUUCCUUCUCUUCUCUCCUCCUUCCCUUCUUCUCCUACUUGGACUAGGAAAGGGGGGGACCGAAUCCUACUUGGACUAGGAGUCCAAGUAGGACUCCCCCCAUGGUGCGCCCCCUCCUAGGGUCGGCCUCCUCUCCUCCCCCCUUUAUAUACAUGGGGAGGGGCACCCCAAAGACACACAAGUUGAUCUUUUAGCCGUGUGCGGUGCCCCCCUCCACAGUUACACACCUCGGUCAUAUCAUUGUAGUUCUUAGGCGAAGCCCUGCGUCGGUAACUUCAUCAUUACCGUCACUAUGCCGUCGUGCUGACGAAACUCUCUCUUGGCCUCAACUGGAUCAAGAGUUCGAGGGACAUCAUCGAGCUGAACGUGCGCUGAUCGUGGAGGUGUCGUGCAUUCGGUACUUGGAUCGGUUGGAUCUCAAAGACGUUUGACUACAUCAACCGCGUUACUAAACGCUUCUGCUUUCGGUCUACGAGGGUACGUAGACACACUCUCCCCUCUCGUUGCUAUGCAUCUCCUAGAUAGAUCUUGCGUGAUCGUAGGUAAAACUUUGAAAUACUGCAUUCCCCAACACCUUUACCCUUUGAUCCUAUCCUACCCACGCAGUAUUUAGAUUUUGACACUUUAAAAGAACAUAAUAUUCUCAAGGGAAAUCUUGACAACUUCACUUUUUGUUUACCAAAAGUAUGUUGUGCACACAUAUUUGCUUGCGCCUGCUCUUUUUGAUUAUCACAACAAAGGAAGAUAUUUUGUUCUUGAGAGCGAGGCCCAAGCUCACAACGCUGCAGUGGAGGCAACACGACAGGCUGAGGCAUCCGCACCGAGAGCCUCCGUGAGCUACCACGCCAACUACUAUCCAGGCUACUGAUCGAUUACCAAGUUAGGCCAAAAGCCUAAUCUUGGGGAGUACGUGUUUCCCACCGACAUUACAUUCAUGCUCACUUAUUCCAUUUGCCGGUGUUCACACUUUUUCAUUGUAUCAUCCAUGCUUAGAUUUAUUUUUCUUGCUUUCUUCUUGUGUGUUUGAAAAACUUUAGAAAAAACAAAAAAUUAGUUGUAGUUAGUUUACUUUCUAUGCAUGCUUAGUAGUAAUAUUAAAAAUAAAAUCCCCAAAAGAUUUCAUUGUUCUUCUUUUGCUUGUUGGGAGCUUUCCCGUGUAAAUAGUUUUUCUCAUUUUUGCUUUUCCCUUUUAUUUGCUUGUUCAAGAAAACCAAAAACUCCAAAAAUAUUUCAGUGUGUUUCUCUGAAUUUCUUUUCCUUUUAUUCGAUUUGUACCAAGGAGAAGACCACGAUGAAAAUGUUGAGUGGCUCCCAUAUGAACAACUGUUGAACUAAUAAAGAGCCCAUUUUACCUUGUCUUCUCCCGUUGAAUAAAAUGUUUUGCAUAUUCUAGCUUAGUGCAUGGCACUCUUGCACUAUUAUUAUUUUCACAUCGUUCGGUUGUGCAAGUGAAAGGCAAUAAUGACGAUAUUCGAUGAACUGGCCGUGGCAGAGAGAAACUGAUAUGAACUCGACUUGUUCUGUUUGUGUAAAUAUGUUUAACCUAGUACCCAUGAUUCAACCCAUUAUGAUUAAACAUGUUUGCAAUGACAAUUAGAGAUUAUAGUUUCUCAUGCCAUGCAUAAGUAGCUGGGAGUGAAUAAUGAUUUAUCCUGGAUAUCAACAUCACGUUAAAAUGAUUGUGAUGUAGUAUGAUGAUAUGGUAUCCUCCUCUGAAUGUUCGAGUGGCUUGACUUGGCAUAUGUUCAUGCAUGUAGUAGAAUCAAAACCAACAUAGCCUCUAUGAUAUUUAUGUUCAUGAUGAUCAUAUCCUACUCAUGCUAGUGUCCUAUGUUACUUAUGCAUAAUGCAUGAUCAUGAUCGUUGUUGCUCUCUAGCUGGCUGCUUCUCAAUCUAAUUGCUAGCCUUCGCCUGUAGUAAGUGGGGAUUCUGCUUAUACAUCAAAAACCCUGAACCCAAAGUUAUUCUAGAUGAGUCCACCAUACCUACCUAUAUGCGGUAUUACCCUGUCGUCCUAAGUAAAUUUGCAAGUGCCACCUCUAAAAACUUCUAAAAAAUAUAUCCUUUUUGUGUGUCUGGAUCGUUCAUGGAACGACAGGAGGUGGUCGGUAUCUUCCAUGCUAAGUGGGUUAUUCUUAGGUCGAGUGUUUAUUCACUUGCCAUCGCACGACAAAAGGGCGGUAAUAGGGAUGCCCAGUCCCAAAAUGCAAAAUACAAAAAGAGUUAAUCGCUCGAAUAAUCAAACAAAAACUCCCAAUGGAUUCAAAACCUUUACUUUUUAUCGCUUGGGAACUGCCACUAGCUUGUUUAGCAUGGGAGAUAUUGAUAACUGAUAGUCGUGAAGUAAAUGAGAAGGGUGCGUGUCUCAAAAUAUCAUUUAUCUCUGUUUUAAAACUUGAGCUCUGGCACCUCUGCAAAUCACUACUUCCCUCUGCGAAGGGACUAUCUAUUUACUUUUAUGUUGUGUCAUCACCUUCUAAAACAAGUGCUAGAACCUGAGAGCACAACUGUCAUGACUUAUGCAUUGUGUGUAGCUAAUGUUGGGUGCAUCAUGACUGGAUCUUUUCUACCAUGAAUUACAAUGUUUAGUCGCUGCUUGGACUUUGGAGGUGCUCUGCAUUUAUGUUUUGCGGUCUCAGAAAGGGCUAGCGAGAUACCACUAUUGUCAUAUUAUAUCAUGGUUGUUUUGACAACGUGUUAUCGUCUGAGAUGUCUAUUGCUCGCUAGAUGAUUGUGUCAUUGAUAUGAGUUAAUAUAAUUUUUAAGAGUUAUUGUCGUCAUGGUUAGUUAUGAUGUUGGCUGAAAACCUGGCUGCUGUUUAAGCUUAUUUAUGCAAACAAGAGCAAAAGAGUUCGUAAAAGUUUUUCUUUUUCACUUUUAGUUUAUCAACUGAGUUGCUUGAGGACAAGCAAAGGUUUAAACUUGGGGGAGUUGAUACGUCUCCAACGUAUCUACUUUUCCUAACGCUUUUCCUCUUGUUUUGGACUCUAAUUUGCAUGAUUUGAAUGAAACUACCCCCAGACUGACGCUGUUUUCAGCAGAACUACCAUGGUGUUGUUUUUGUGCAGAAAUAAAAGUUCUCGGAAUGGAAUGAAACUUUGCAAGGAUUUUUUAUAUCAAUAAUAAGAAUUUCUUGAGCCAAGACCCACCAAAGGGGGCACCUGGGUGAGCACAACCCACCAGGACGCGCCCCCUCUCCUAGCGCGCCCAGGUGGGUUGUGCCCACCUGGUGGCCCCGUAGACCCUGAAACCGAUACUAUAAAAUCCUAUUUUUCUAGAAAAAAUCAGGGAGAAAGAAUUAUCGCGAUCCACGAGACGGAGCCACCGCCACCUCCUGUUCUUUAUCAGGAGGCCAGAUCUGGAGUCCGUUUGGGGCUCCGAAGAGGGGGAUCUUCGUUCUUCGUCAUCACCAACCCUUCUCCAUCACCAAUUCCAUGAUGCUCCUCACCGAGAGUGAGGAAUUCCUUCGCAGGGCUUGAUCCCUAGUAUCCACUAUGUUCUAAGAUUGAUGUUGCUAUGACUUUACCAUGCUUAAUGCUUGUCACUUUGGGCCCGGGUUCCAUGAUUUUAGAUCUGAACCAUUUAUGUUAUCACCAUUAUAUCCAUGUUCUAGAUCCGAUCUUGCAAGUUAUAGUCACCUACUACAUGUUAUGAUUCGGGAACCCCGGAGUGACAAUAGUCGGGACCACUCCCGGUGACGACCGUAGUUUGAGGAGUUCAUGUAUUCACCGUGUGUUAAUGCUUUGUUCCGGUUCUCUUUUAAAAGGAGGCCUUAAUAUCCCUAAGUUUCCAAUAUGGACCCCGCUGCCACAGGACGGUAGGACAAAAGAUGUCAUGCAAGUUCUUUCCAUAAGCAUGUAUGACUAUUUACGGAAUACUGUUAGGGAACACAGUAUUUCAAAAAAUUCCUACGAUCACGCAAGAUCUAUCUAGGAGAUACAUAGCAACGAGAGGGGAGAGUGUGUCUACGUAUCAUCGCAGACCUAAAGCGGGAGCAUUUAGUAACGCGAUUGAGGUAGUCGAACGUCUUCACGAUCCAACCGAUCAAGUACCGAACGCACGGCACCUCCGCGAUCUACACACGUUCAGCUCGGUGACGCCUCUCAUACUCUUGAUCCAGCUUAGGCCGAGGGUGAGUUUUGUCAGCACGACGGCGUGUCGAUGGUGAUGAUGAAGUUACUGACGCAGGGCUUCGCCUAAGCACUACGACAAUAUGACCGAGGUGUAAAACUGUGGAGGGGGGCACCGCACACGGGUAAAGAUCAACUUGUGUGUCUAUGGGGUUCCCCCUCCCCUGUAUAUAAAGGAGGGGAGGAGGAGCAGGGCCGGCCACAAGGGGCGCGCCCAAGGGGGGAAUCCUACUCCUAGUAGGAGUAAGUUCCCCCCUUCCCUAGUCCUAGUAGGAGAAUAAGGAAGGAGAGGAAGAAGAGAAGGAAAGGCGGACCGACCCCCUAGCCCUAGUCCAAUUCGGUUUGGGCUAGGGGGGGCGCCACACCUUGGCCUGCCUCCUCUCUUCCACCAUUAGGCUCAUGAGGCCCAAUAACUUCCCGGGGGGUUCUGGUAACCCCCGGUACUCCGAAACUUAUCCGAACGACCCGAACCAUUCCGGUGUCCGAAUGUAGCCUUCCAAUAUAUGAAUCUUUCUGUCUCGAUCAUUUCGAUACUCCUCGUCAUGUCCGUGAUCUCUUCCGGGACUCCGAACAACCUUCGGUACAUCAAAUCACAUAACUCAUAAUACAUAUCGUCAUCGAACGUUAAGCGUGCGGACCCUACGGGUUCGAGAACUAUGUAGACAUGACCGAGACACAUCUUCGGUUAAUAACCAAUAGCAGAACCUGGAUGCUGAAAUUGUUUCCUACAUAUUCUACGAAGAUCUUUAUCGGUCAAACUGCGUAACAACAUACAUUGUUUCCUUUGUCAUCGGUAUGUUACUUGCCCGAGAUUCGAUCGUCGGUAUCAUCAUACCUAGUUCAAUCUCGUCACCGGCAAGUCUGUUUACUCGUUCCGUAAUGCAUCAUCCCGCAACUAAAUCAUUAGUCACAUUGCUUGCAAGGCUUAUACUGAUGUGCAUUACCGAGAUGGCCCAGAGAUACCUCUCCGACAAUCGGAGUGACAAAUCCUAAUCUCGAUCUAUGCCAACUCAACAAACACCAUCGGAGACACCUGUAAAGCAUCUUUAUAAUCACCCAGUUACGUUGUGACGUUUGAUAGCACACUAAGUGUUCCUCCGGUAUUCGGGAGUUUCAUAACCUCAUAGUCAUAGGAACAUGUAUAAGUCAUGAAGAAAGCAAUAGCAAUAAACUAAACGAUCAUAGUGCUAAGCUAACGAAUGGGUCUAGUCCAUAACAUCAUUCUCUAAUGAUGUGAUCCAAUUCAUCAAAUGACAACACAUGUCCAUGGCUAGGAAACUUAACCAUCUUUGAUUAAUGAUCUAGUCAAGUAGAGGCAUACUAGGGACACUCUGUUUGUCUAUGUAUUCACACAUGUACUAAGUUUCUGGUUAAUACAAUUCUAGCAUGAAUAAUAAACAUUUAUCAUGACAUAAGAAAUAUAAAUAACAACUUUAUUAUUGCCUCUAGGGCAUAUUUCCUUCAGUCUCCCACUUGCACUAGAGUCAAUAAUCUAGAUUACAUAGUAAUGAUUCUAACACCCAUGGAGUCUUGGUGCUGAUCAUGUUUUGCUCGUGAGAGAGGCUUAGUCAACGGGUCUGCAACAUUCAGAUCUGUAUGUAUCUUGAAAAUCUCUAUGUCUCCCUCCUUGACUUGAUCGCGGAUGGAAUUGAAGCGUCUCUUGAUGUGCUUGGUUCUCUUGUGAAAUCAGGAUUCCUUUGCCAAGGCAAUUGCACUAGUAUUGUCACAAAAUAUUUUCAUUGGACCCGAUGCACUAGGUAUUACACCUAGAUCGGAUAUGAACUCCUUCAUCCAGACUCCUUCAUUUGUUGCUUCCGAAUCAGCUAUGUAUUCCUCUUCAGACGUAGAUCCCGCCACAACGCUCUGCUUAGGACUGCACCAACCAACAGCUCCACCAUUCAAUAAAAAUACGCAUUCGGUUUGUGACUUAGAGUCAUCCGGAUCAGUGUCAAAGCUUGCAUCGACGUAACCAUUUACGACGAGCUCUUUAUUACCUCCAUAAACGAGAAACAUAUCCUUAGUCCUUUUCAGGUAUUUUAGGAUGUUCUUGACCGCUGUCCAGUGAUCCACUCCUGGAUUAGUUUGGUACCUCCCUACUAAACUAAUAGCAAGGCACACAUCAGGUCUGGCACACAUCAUUGCAUACAUGAUAGAAUCUAUGGCUGAGGCAUUGGGAAUGGCUUUCAUUUUCUGUCUAUCUUCUGAAGUGGUCGGGUAUUGAGUCUGACUCAACUUCACACCUUGUAACAUAGGCAAGAACCCUUUCCUUUCUUGAUCCAUUUUGAACUUCUUCAAAACUUUAUCAAGGUAUGUGCUUUGUGAAAGUCCAAUUAAGCAUCUUGAUCUAUCUCUAUAGAUCUUGAUGCCCAAUAUAUAAGCAACUUCAUCGAGGUCUUUCGUUGAAAAAUUCUUAUUCAAGUAUCCUUUUAUGCUAUUCAGAAAUUCAGUAUCAUUUCCGAUCAACAAUAUGUCCUCCACAUAUAAUAUCAGAAAUGCUACAGAGCUCCCACUCACUUUCUUGUAAAUACAGGCUUCUUCAAAAGUCUGUAUAAAACCAUAUACUUUGAUCACACUAUCAAAGCGUAUAUUCCAACUCCGAGAUGCUUCCACCAGUCCAUAAAUGGAUCGCUGGAGCUUGCACACUUUGUUAGCACCUUUUGGAUCGGCAAAACCUUCCUGUUGCAUCAUAUACAACUCUUCUUUAAGAUAUCCAUUAAGGAAUACAUUUUUUACAUCCAUUUGCUAAAUUUCAUAAUCACAAAAUGUGGCAAUUGCUAACAUGAUUCGGAUGGACUUAAGCAUCGCUACGGGUGAGAAGGUCUCAUCAUAGUCAACUCCUUGACUUGUCGAAAACCUUUCGCAACAAGUCGAGCUUUGUAGACAGUAACAUUACCGUCAACGUCAGUCUUCUUCUUGACGAUCCAUUUAUUCUCUAUGGUUUGCCGAUCAUUGGGCAAGUCAACCAAAGUCCACACUUUGUUCUCAUACAUGGAUCCCAUCUCAGAUUUCAUGGCCUCAAGCCAUUUUGCGGAAUCUGGGCUCAUCAUCGCUUCCUCAUAGUUUGUAGGUUCGUCAUGGUCAAGUAACAUGACCUCCAGAACAUGAUUACCAUACCACUCUGGUGUGGAUCUUACUCUGGUUGACCUACGAGGUUCGGUAGUAACUUGAUCAGAAGUUUCAUGAUCAUCAUCAUUAGCUUCCUGACUAAUUGGUGUAGGAAGCACUGGAACUGAUUUCUGUGAUGAACUACUUUCCAAUAAGGGAGAAGGUACAAUUACCUCAUCAAGUUCCUCCCACUCACUUCUUUCGAGAGAAACUCCUUCUCUAGAAAGGAUCCGUUCUUAGCAAUGAAUAUCUUGCCUUCGGAUCUAUGAUAGAAGGUGUACCCAACAGUCUCCUUUGGGUAUCCUAUGAAGACGCAUUUCUCAUAUUUGGGUUCGAGCUUAUUAGGUUGAAGCUUUUUCACAUAAGCAUCGCAGCCCCAAACUUUAAGAAAUGACAACUUGGGUUUCUGGCCAAACCACGGUUCAUAUGGUGUCGUCUCAAUGGAUUUCAAUGGUGCCCUAUUUAACGUGAAUGCAACCGUCUCUAAAGCGUAACCCCAAAACGAUAGCGGUAAAUCAGUAAGAGACAUCAUAGAUCGCACCAUAUCUAAUAAAGUGCGGUUACGAUGUUCGGACACACCAUUACGCUGCGGUGUUCCAGGUGGCGUGAUCUGCGAAACUAUUCCACAUUGUUUCAAAUGAAGACCAAACUCAUAAUUCAAAUAUUCACCUCCAUGAUCAGAUUGUAGAAACUUAAUUUUCUUGUUACGAUGAUUCUCCAUUUCACUCUGAAAUUCUUUGAACUUUUCAAAUGUUUCAGACUUAUGUUUCAUCAAGUAGAUAUACCCAUAUCUGCUCAAAUCAUCUGUAAAGGUUAGAAAAUAACGAUACCCUCCACGAGCAUCAACACUCAUCGGACCGCAUACAUCAGGAUGUAUUAUUUCCAAUAAGUCUGUUGCUCGUUCCAUUGUUGCCGAGAACGGAGUCUUAGUCAUCUUGCCCAUGAGGCAUGGUUCGCAAGCAUCAAGUGAUUCAUAAUCAAGUGAUUCCAAAAGCCCAUCAACAUGGAGUUUCUUCAUGCGCUUUACACCAAUAUUGAAGGAAAUAUGCCCUAGAGGCAAUAAUAAAGUUGUUAUUUAUAUUUCUUUAUAUCAUGAUAAAUGUUUAUUAUUCAUGCUAGAAUUGUAUUAACCGAAAACUUAGUAUAUGUGUGAAUACAUAGACAAAUAGAGUGUCACUAGUAUGCCUCUACCUGACUAGCUCGUUGAUCAAAGAUGGUUAAGUUUCCUAGCCAUGGACAAAGAGUUGUCAUUUGAUAAACAUGAUCACAUCAUUAGAGAAUGAUGUGAUUGACUUGACCCAUCCGUUAGCUUAGCACUUUGAUCGUUUAGUUUAUUGUUUUUGCUUUGUCCAUAACUUAUACAUGUUCCUAUGACUAUGAGAUUAUGCAACUCCGAAUACCGAAGGAACACUUAGUGUGCUAUCAAACGUCACAACGUAACUUGGUGACUAUAAAGAUGCUCUACAGGUGUCUCCGAUGGUGUUCGUUGAGUUGGCAUGGAUCGAGAUUAGGGUUUGUCACUCCAUGUAUCGGAGAGGUAUCUCCGGGGCCUCUCGGUAAUCCACAUCACUAUAAGCUUUGCAAGCAAUGUGACUAAUGAGUUAGUUAUGGGAUGUUGCACUACGGAACAAGUAAAGAGACUUUCCAGUAACGAGAUUGAACUAGGUAUUGAGAUACCGACGAUCGAAUCUCGGGCAAGUAACAUACCGAUGACAAAGGGAACAACGUAUGUUGUUAUGCAGUUUGACCGAUAAAGAUCUUCGUAGAAUAUGUAGGAACCAAUAUGAGCAUCCAGGUUCCGCUAUUGGUUAUUGACCGGAGAUGAGUCUCGUUCAUGUCUACAUAGUUCUCGAACCCGUAGGGUCCGCACGCUUAACAUUCGGUGACGAUUGAUAUUAUGAGUUUAUGUGUUUUGAUGUACCGAAGGUAGUUCGGAGUCCCGGAUAUGAUCACGGACAUGACGAGGAGUCUUGGAGUGGUCGAGACAUAAAUAUCGAUAUAUUGGAAGCCUAUGUUUGGACAUUGGAAUGGUUCCAGGUGAGUUCGGGCAUUUACCGGAGUACUGGGGGGUUACUGGAACCCCCCGGGGAGUAUAUGGGCCUUAUUGGGCCUUAGUGGAAUAGAGGAGAGGAAGGUCAAGGAGGAGGGCGCGCCCCCUAUCCCAAUCUGAAUUGGGUGGGGGCCCAACUCCCCUUCCUUCCUUCUCUCCCCCCCUUCCUUCUCUCCCGCUCCUACUAGGUAAGGGGGGGGGAUCCUACUCCAGGUGGGAGUAGGACUCCCCCUAGGGCGCGCCAUAGAGAGGGCCGGCCCUCCCCUCCUCCACUCCUUUAUAUACGGGGGAGGGGGGCACCCCAUAGACACACAAGUUGAUCUCUUAGGGUGCUCCCCUCCAUAGAUUUCCACCUCGGUCAUAUCGUUGUAGUGCUUAGGUGAAGCCCUGCGUCGGUAACUUCAUCAUCACCAUCAUCAAGCCGUUGUGCUGAUGAAGCUGUCCCCCAACACUCAGCUGGAUCUAGAGUUCGUGGGACGUCACCGAGAUGGACGUGUGCAGAUCGCAGAGGUGCCGUACCUUCGGUGCUAGCAUUGGUCGAAUCGUGAAGACGUACGACUACAUCAACAUCGUUGUCAUAAUGCUUUCGCUUACGGUCUACAAGGGUACGUAGACAACACUCUCCCCUCUUGUUUCUAUGCAUCUCCUAGAUGGAUCUUGCUUGAUCGUUGGAAUUUUUUCGAAAUACUGCGUUCCCCAACAAAUAUGAUCUAAAUGACAGUUCCACAAAUAAGUUGCACUAUCAUUAUUAAACUUAUAUCUUUUGGCUUCAAUACUAUGAAUAUGUGUAUCACUACUAUCGAGAUUCAAUAAAAAUAGACCACUAAUCAAGGGUGCAUGACCAUAAAAGAUAUUACUCAUAUAAAUAGAACAUCCAUUAUUCUCUAAUUUAAAUGAAUAACCGUCUCGCAUCAAACAAGAUCCAGAUAUAAUCUUCAUGCUUAACGCUGGCACCAAAUAACAAUUAUUCAAGUCUAAAACUAUUCCCGAAGGUAUAUGUAGAGGUAGCGUGCCGACUGCGAUCACAUCAACUUUGGAACCAUUUCCCACGCGCAUCGUCACCUCGUUCCUUAGCCAAUCUUCGCUUAAUCCAUAGCCCCUGUUUCGAGUUGCAAAUAUGAGCAACAGAACCAGUAUCAAAUUCCCAGGCGCUACUGCGAGCAUUAGUAAGGUACACAUCAAUAACAUGUAUAUCAAAUAUACCAUUCACUUUGCCAUCCUUCUUAUCCGCCAAAUGCUUGGGGCAGUUCAACUUCCAGAGACCAGUCCCUUUGCAGUAGAAGCACUCAGUCUCAGGCUUAGGCCCAGACUUGGGUUUCUUCAUUCGAGCAACAACUUGCUUGCCAUUCUUCUUGAAGUUCCCCUCUUCCCUUUGCCCUUCUUCUUGAAACUAGUGGUCUUGUUGACCAUCAACACUUGAUGCUCCUUCUUGAUUUCUACCUCCGCAUCUUUUAGCAUUGUGAAGAGCUCGUGAAUUUUCUUAUCUAUCCCUUGCAUAUUAUAGUUCAUCAUGAAGCUUUUGUAGCUUCGUGGCAGUGAUUGAAGAACUCUGUCAAUGACACUAUCAUCAGGAAGAUUAACUCCUAGUUGAGUCAAGUGGUUCUGGUAACCAGACAUUCUGAGUAUAUGUUCACUGACAGAACUAUUCUCCUCCAUCUUGCAGCUAUAGAACUUAUUGGAGACUUCAUAUCUCUCAAUUCGGGCAUUUUCUUGAAAUAUUAACUUCAACUCCUGGAACAUGUCAUAUGCCCCAUGACGUUCAAAACAUCGUUGAAGUCCCGAUUCUAAGCUGUAAAGCAUGGCACACUGAACUAUUGAGUAGUCAUCAGCUUUGCUCUGCCAGACGUUCAUAACAUCUGGUGUUGCUCCUGCAGCGGGCUUUGCACCUAGUGGUGCUUCUAGGACGUAAUUCUUCUGUGCAGCAAUGAGGAUAAUCCUCAAGUUACGGAACCAGUCCGUGUAGUUGCUACCAUCAUCUUUCAACUUAGCUUUCUCUAGGAACGCGUUAAAAUUCAAAGGAACAGUAGCACGGGCCAUUUAUCUAUAACAACAUAGACAUGCAAAAUACUAUCAGGUACUAAGUUCAUGAUAAAUUAAAGUUCAAUUAAUCAUAUUACUUAAGAACUCCCACUUAGAUAGACAUCCCUCUAGUCAUCUAAAUGAUCACGUGAUCCAUAUAAACUAAUCCAUGUACGAUCAUCACGUGAGAUGGAGAAAUUUUCAAUGGUGAACAUCACUAUGUUGAUCAUAUCUACUAUAUGAUUCACGCUCGACCUUUCGGUCUCAGUGUUCCGAGGCCAUAUCUGCAUAUGCUAGGCUCGUCAAGUUUAACUUGAGUAUUAUGCUUGUGCAAAACUAGCUUGCACCCGUUGUAUGUGAAUGUAGAGCUUCUCACACCCGAUCAUCACUUGGUGUCUCGGCACGACGAACGAUAGCAACAGUGCAUACUCAGGGAGAACAUUUAUACCUUGAAAUUUAGUGAGAGAUCAUCUUAUAAUGCUACCGCCGUACUAAGCAAAAUAAGAUGCAUAAAAGAUAAACAACACAUGCAAUCAAUAUAAGUGAUAUGAUAUGGCCAUCAUCAUCUUGUGCCUUCGAUCUCCAUCUCCAAAGCACCAUCAUGAUCACCAUCGUCACCGGCUUGACACCUUUAUCUCCAUCGUAGCAUUGUUCUCGUCUCACCAACUAUUUCUUCAAUGACUACCGCUACCGCUUAGUGAUAAAGUAAAGCAAUUACAUGGCGAUUGCAUUUCAUACAAUAAAGCAACAACCAUAUAGCUCCUGCCAGUUGUCGAUAACUUUGUUACAAAACAUGAUCAUCUCAUACAACAAUUUAUAUAAUCACGUCUUGACCAUAUCACAUCACAAAAUGCCUUGCAAAGACAAGUUAGACGUCCUCUAAUUUGUUGUUGCAAGUUUUACGUGGCUGCUACGGGCUUAGCAAGAACCGUUCUUACCUACGCAUAAAAAACCACAACGAUUUUUCAUCAAGUGUGUUGUUUUAACCUUCAACAAGGACCAGGCGUAGUCACACUCGAUUCAACUAAAGUUGGAGAAAUAGACACCCACUAGCCACCUGUGUGCAAAGCACAUCGGUAGAACCAGUCUCACGAACGCGGUCAUGUAAUGCCGGUCUGGGCAGCUUCAUCCAACAAUAACACUGAAUCAAAGUCGGACAUGCUGGUAAGCAGUAUGACUAUUAUCGCCCUCAAAUAUUUGUGUUCUACUCAUGCAUAUAACAUCUACGCAUAGACCUGGCUCUGAUGCCACUGUUGGGGAACGCAGUAUUUCAAAAAAAUUCCUACGAUCACGCAAGAUCUAUCUAGGAGAUGCAUAGCAACGAGAGGGGAGAGUGUGUGUAUGUACCCUCGUUGACCAAAAGCGAAAGCGUUUAGUAAUGCGGUUGAUGUAGUCGAACGUCUUCGCGAUCCAACCGAUCAAGUACCGAAUAAAUGACACCUCCGUGAUCUGCACACGUUCAGCUCGAUGACGUCCCUUGUUCUCUUGAUCCAGCUGAGGACGAGGGUGAGGUUCAUCAGCACGACGAUGUGUCGACGGUGAUGAUGAAGUUACCGAUGCAGGGCUUUGCUUAAGCACUACGACAAUAUGACCGAGGUGUAAAACUGUGGAGGGGGGCACUGCACACGGCUAAAGAUCAACUUGUGUGUCUAUGGUGUGCCCCUCUGAUACGUCCCCAUCGUAUCUACUUUUCCAAACACUUUUGCCCUUGUUUUGGACUCUAACUUGCAUGAUUUGAAUGGAACUAACCCGGACUGACGUUGUUUUCAGCAGAAUUGCCAUGGUGUUAUUUUUGUGCAGAAAUAAAAGUUCUCGGAAUGACCUAAAAAUCAGCGGAGAAUAUUUUUGGAAUAUAUAAAAAAUACUGGCGAAAAAAUCAAGGCCAGGGACCCACACCCUGUCCAGGAGGGUGGGGGCGCGCCCAGGGGGUGGGCCCCCUGGUGCUCCACUGACCUGAACUCAAACUCUAUAUAUUCACGUUCGAGGGGAAAACCUAGAGAGAAGGAUUCAUCGCGUUUUACAAUACAGAGCCGCCGCCAAGCCAUAAUCUCUCUUCGGAGGGCUGAUCUAGAGUCCGUUCGGGGCUUCGGAGAGGGGAAUCCGCCGCCAUUGUCAUCAUCAACCUUCCUCCAUCACCAAUUUCAUGAUGCUCACCGCCGUGCGUGAGUAAUUCCAUAAUAGGCUUGCUGGACAGUGAUGGGUUGGAUGAGAUUUAUCAUGUAAUUGAGUUAGUUUUGUUACGGUUUGAUCCCUAGUAUCCGUUAUGUUCUGAGAUUGAUGUUGCUAUGACUUUGCUAUGCCUAAUGCUUGUCACUAGGGCCCAAGUGCCAUGAUUUCAGAUCUGAACCUAUUAUGUUUUCAUGAAUAUAUGUGAGUUCUUGAUCCUAUCUUGCAAGUCUAUAGUCACCUAUUAUGUGUUAUGAUCCGUUAACCCUGAAGUGACAAUAAUCGGGAUACUUACCGGUGAUGACCGUAGUUUGAGGAGUUCAUGUAUUCACGAAGUGUUAAUGCUUUGGUCUGGUACUCUAUUAAAAGGAGGCCUUAAUAUCCCUUAGUUACCAAUAGGACCCCGCUGCCAUGGGAGGGUAGGACAAAAGAUGUCAUGCAAGUUCUUUUCCAUACGCACGUAUGACUAUAUUCGGAA